This 78214-nucleotide long non-coding RNA is filed under the name Sorghum bicolor (sorghum). RNAcentral describes it as "long non-coding RNA (SBIC_LNC013867)". Lineage: Eukaryota; Viridiplantae; Streptophyta; Magnoliopsida; Poales; Poaceae. The record is from RNAcentral.
ACUGUUAUAAUUUAAGGCUUGCUCUAGACCUAAACUUGUGGGAUGAAAACUUGAUCUGAAGUCUAAGUUGUUAACAGAUAUGAUAUGGGAAGGUUGAGCUGCUGUUUAUCUGUUCCUAGAGAUGCUAGAAUUCUGGAGAAUUUUAUCUUUGAAAAUCUUUAAAAUGUUGCAUGAUGAGUUCCUAUAUGAUGAGAGUUUAAAUUCCUACCACAGCCAUAUAUACAUGCUUGCUAGACUUUGAGCCACACAUUUAUUAUUUACUGCUUAUGAGCAUUGAGUGUGGUCAAGCUGUGUAGACCCUUAGGAGCUUGUCAUGUGGUUAAAUCAAGAUUUCACUUGCACGUUCACUCAUAUAUGCUACUUCUACUCCGGAAGUACCAUCCACAUAUAUCCAUCCAUUUCCAUCUCCAGAAUCACCCAAAAAUAUUCUACUCCUAAUCCGGGAGAGAAUAACCAAAAAUAUUUCUGUUUUCCCCUUGUGAAAUAAAUGCUCAAGUUAUCUUGUUACUACCACUUGCUAUAUUAUCUCAAGAGAUGAAUGCUCUGAAAAAAAAGAGAAAAAAAAGAGAUACGAGGAAAUAAAAAGGAGCAAGUGCUCGGAACCUCGAAAGAAAAGAAAAAGUGAGACGAGAGGUAAAAAUAGACAAGUGUCCGACAGUAGAAUUAGGGGUACAAGAUACCCACCUGAGAGACAAGAAAAAGGAGAGCAUUUCAUUCUCCUCAUAAAGUUUCAAAAGCAAGGAAGGUAUGUAUCCCCUCAAAGAGCAAAGUAGAAUUAGACUUCCACCACCAUUGUUUUCACCAUUGUUAUCAUCAUCACCAUACACCAUUCAUUCACCACACAUACACAUCUUGAUUUGGCUUAUUGAUUUGUUUCUUUGGAUCCAUGGUUUGACUAUGCAAUAAAUGUCUUGUAAGUAUGUAUACUUUAUCUCCCACCUAUGAGCUCCAGAUAUUAAAGCCUUAUUAGAGUAGGGUGAGAGAGAAGGCAAUGUCACUAUGCCUCAUACCACAAAUACUACAUAUUUUGAGAGAAGGCAUAUACCAUCACUGCCUUGGUAAGGAUCCAAAAAUACCACAAAAGAGAGACCUGAGAGAAUCAUACAAGGAAUUUCUGAGUUUUAUUUGAAAAUCUGCAAAAACCCCAGAGCUAUAGCUGAUCAAGAAUAAGAGACAUGGCACUUGGCUAGACUGUUCUAUCUUUUAACUACUCAAGACAGAAGUGACGGUUACAAGUCCCAUGGUGAAGGUAAAGUAAGUAAGUUUUAAGUUUUGACAGUUUACUCUAACUCAGAGAUGAGAUUUUAUCUAAAAAGCAUGUGUACCGUCAAUUUUUAAAAUAUUGCAACAACUUAUGAUCCAUAGCUGAGUCUAUCCUUGCUCAGGGACGAGCAAGAGGUAAGCUUCGGGGAGUUUGUUGACGGUCCUUAAGUAUCAAAUUUAAUUGUCAAAUAAAUAAAGAAAAGGAUCCAAAUGAAAUCAAGAUCUAGACUUAGGGUUUUAUCUGACAGAAUUCCAUGAGUUUUGGUGUUUGUCUAUUUCUGCAGGGGGUUAUCAGGAAAUAUGGAAGAAAGGCCCACAUGUCGGGAUUACGUAAAGAUAUUAACGUGCUGUGCAGUUAUCUUACAUCUAGAAGACUCCAGAAGCCACGAGACCGAAGCGAAGGCGAAAUGGGGCCAGAGGCAGGGCACCCGCCCUCCUGCCCUGGGCGCCCGCCCCCUCCCUGAGUCCAAUCAGGACUCUGCUUCGUGGGAGAUCUCCACCGACCUAAAGGAUGAAUCUAAACCAUACAAUCUAUGUCGGUUUGAUCCAAUGGCCCAUAUUCACUUGAAGGGACUAUAAAACCAGACCCCCUGGCCCCUGGAGGAGAGAGCCUCUCAACCCGAAUUCAUUGUUCCAUCAAGGGAGAAGAAGCCUCUGAUCAAGAUUAGAGCCACCACAUCAAUUAGACAUCUAGAUUAGCAUAGCUACAUAGGAUUAGAACUAGAAGGAGUCAAUCUUCGAUUGGUUUCCGGAUCUGUCAAGAGGAUUCUUGGUAAUUCUCUAAUUGUGCUUCUAAUUGCUUUCUAAUUAUCUUUGUUCUUCAAUAUUAUGAAUAUGACUUUGUUCUACUUCAAUAUAUUGCUUAUGACUUUGCUCUACUUGCUUAUAUUCAAGAUUAUAUUGUUCUCAGUUUAUCAUAGUUAUGUACUUGGCUUAGUUAGAUUCGAUCUAUAUACAUGCUUAGGAUCGUAUAGCGUUUAUCCAUCGGAUCCAUGGGUAAAUGAUAGAUAUUGUGUAGGCGUGGUGCUUAUACCGUAUUUAUCUGCGAUUGUACCCAAUAUGCCAGAUCGUGGGGUGGUUCGUGAUAGUGACAGCUUCAUUGAUUCUUAUAUAGUCCCCCUCUCGUGUAUUGGGCUGGCAGAGCAACAUUAUUACAGGGGAGUGAUUGCUAUGUUUCUCAUAUUCCUUGCUAAUAUCACUAUGCAUGGGCGUAGUCUUGUCUCGCAAUGAUUGCUAAGUAUGCUUGCACUAACUAUGAUAUGCUAAACUAUAUAGUUAAGAAUAACUUAGGGAAUAUUCUUGUAGUUCAUUCUAAUACCAUGCUAAUGACUUUCUAGAGUAUUUAAUUGAGGUGCUUAUCAUAUUUAUUAUGUGGCUAGAUCAGAUUAGUUAUCCUUGUCACUAUUAUUAUUUCAUAUAACUUUUAUGUGACACUUAUCCCUGUAUGAAGAGUUAGAUAUAAUGUUCUCAAUUAUACAUGCAAUGAUGGAUGCUCAAUCUCAUAUUCUAUUCUGUAAUCAAUAGUGAUGAUUGCUAAUCCCUUCCCAGUGGUAAAAAUAUAAAUAACGAUACCUGGAAUACUUCCCGGUUAAAAUGCUGCAUCGGUAUUAAUCUGUGCGCUUGCAGAUCCCAUUCAUUAUUUAUUUAGAAGAGCAAUUGCAUAUUUCAAUACCGCGUCUCUCAUGUCAUGCCGGGGAUGACAACUUGGCUUAAGUGGUGUGAGGGAUAGGUUUGGCAUUUUUGGCACCGUUACUAGAUUUAGAGAACUUAAUCUACUUUUGGUAAUGAUGUUGAGAAUACCCAACAGUACGUUGGUGAUCAAGACCAAGUUUUUGAAGACCAGCAGGCUCAGGAGAGCUUUGAGCAAGACAAGUAUAACUUGGGAUCAUCCUUGUUACCUAUUCACUUAUAAAUACAUAUAUAUCAUAUGCAUGCUAUCACCUUGUCGACCUUAGCAAAAUCAUAGAUGAUUGUUACCUGUAUUCCUUGCUACCUACUUGAUAUGCAUUUGGUGUAGAUGUGCUAGUGCUUGAUAUAAUCUAUGAUCUUGUAAGAUGAUUAAUAGCUAUGCAAUGAACAUAAAAGAAUGAUAAAUAACUGUAUGAGAUCUUGUCUGUACGUGAUCACCCGGGGUAACAGUGCAACCAUGAGGGCUAUAAUGGCUCUGGCUUUAGCUCAGUAUGAAGCCCUUUUCUAGCUUGUUAGAGGUUACCCGAAAGGGCGAAGGGGCUGAUCCGUUUUGGGUAUAGUGUGUCCUCUGUCUGUAUGAGUAUAGGCUGCGAGUCAUUGUGCCAUUGGAAGGGGGGCUCUAUAUCUGCGCGCAAAGGAAAGCUUGCGGCCCUAACUUGUUAGACGAACUUUUGAAAGGCAUCAUAGUGAUCCCUGCCGACCUCCCUAGGAAGGGGGUUAAGAGAUUAGCUACGUCGGGCGAAAGGGUAAAUCAUGACUCAUGGGUAAAUAUGUACAACCUCUGCAGAGUGUAAAACUGGUAUACUAGCCGAGCUCAUGGUCAGGAGCGGCCUUGGGGACAUCUACAUUAAGAUGAUGAGCUUGUUACGUUAUUAUGUUCAUUUGAUUAUCGUUUAUGCUAAGAAUUAAUUAUGCUUACACUUGAUCAUGUGAUUAAUGGAUUAUUUACGCUACCUUGACAAUUGCUAUUUAAUUAUGAAUAUGCUAUCCACUAUUAAAAGCUAAAUGCAGUCAAACCAGUGUCAGCUAUUUGAGCCUCAUGAACCCCUGGUUAUACUUAUUCAGUACGAUAUGUGCUCACUCUUGCAAUUUCCCAACACCUCAGGAUAUGAUAAUGAAGAUGACUUUAAUGAGGAUUACCGCUAUGAGUACUAGGUUUGGAGUCAACCAGUCCACAGUGUCCCUGUGUGAAGCUUCCGUCGAGAGCGUUGUUUACUUUAUGCUAUCAUUUUUGUAUGAGACUAUGUGAUAUAUUAUAUUCCGCUAUGUAAUAAACACUGUAAUGUUACAUUUGAGCUUUGUCUACUUAUGUGUGCGACUAUUCCUGGGGCACAUAUGAGUCUUUUAUGCAUCCUAUUUUGUUCUUAAAAUAUGGGUGUGACAAAUUGGUAUUAGAGCUUUGUUGACUGUCGGACGCAAGACUAGUUAGAAAUUGGUCGUCUUAAGAUUUUGAAAUUGCUAUAAAAUCUUUGCUCUAUAAACCUUGAUAAUUUCUUCUACACUAUAUCCUAUUCAUCCUCACCUUGUUGCUUAUUUUAUAGACAUGUUCUCAUCCCCACUCCUUGCUUUGAAUAUGCUUUUAGAACCUUCUCUUACCACCUUCUGGCAUCGUUGAAAUAGGAGUUAUAGGAUCUUUACCCUUAAUAGGAAGAGAACGUUAGUACCGCAAGUUGAGUCAAUGCUUGAAGUGUGAACCUUUGAUGCUUGGUUUGGUUUGUUAUUAUGCUUAUGCUUGAUUUGAAUCUUUGUAAUGAGUGUAAUGAUCUUGUGGAUUUUCUCUACAAUUUCAUUUAGUUUAUAGGCUUAAGGCAUAAGGAUUAAUGAACUAAAUAGUUGGGUUUGGUUAAAAUUCUGUUUCUGUCCUUUGCUGUUUUCUGGAGCAGUCUGCAAAAAAUCUGGUACAUCUCAAAAUCUGUUCGUGUAAUAUUCAUCAAAUUUUUCCAGGAUCCAGUAAACUCUCAUAUCUUUCCAAUGCCUCAAGAAUGAUAAUAUUAUCGGUUGUGAGCUGUGAGAUAUGACUGUACAAAUUUGAGGUUUCUGCGCAGUCUGGAAUUCUAGAACAGUUCCGGUUGUACACAGUUUUUGAUUCGCCUAACUUUGGAAUCUGGUAAUAUGAUCUAAACGAAUGUUGUAGACAAUUUCUUUAUAUUUCCAACGGUGUACAGCAUGGAUCCUUUUGAAUUCUGGAACUCGAGAUAUGACUGAUAUUCUGAUCUGCUGAUGUUGGAUGUUACCCAGAAAAUUUCAGAUUCUGUUAACUCUUGUAAUUGUCAUGUUGGACAUUACUAAGAUGUGUUUAUGUACCUUGGAAUGCAGAUGGCAGCAAGGAGAAGAGGCAGAGGUAGAGGCUGUGGCAAUGGCAAUGGUGGCAAUGCCCCAAUCACCGUGGAGGAACUCAUGCAAACCCAAAAUGAGAUGAUGCACGUCUUCAUGCAGCACUUACAGCAGCAACCCCCACCAACACCACCACCUGUUCAUGUGAGGGAUAAGCGUGGGGAGUUUAUGAAGGGAAGACCUCCUGUAUUUACACACUCAGCUGAUCCCAUGGAGGCAGAUGAUUGGUUACGUGCUGUGGAGAGGCAACUGAACAUAGCACAGUGCAAUGACUUGGAAAAAGUGUUGUAUGCUUCUGGACAACUUCAAGGUGCAGCUCAGACAUGGUGGGAGUCGUAUCAAGCUGCUCGUCCCAACAAUGCUCCUCCGGUCACUUGGUUGGAGUUUUGCAGAGACUUUAGAGCACGACAUAUCAAUGAACGAAUGAUGGAGCUCAAGCAGGAGGAAUUCAGAUCUCUCAGGAUGGGUUCUAUGUCUGUGGCUGAGUAUCAUGACAUGUUUGAGCAGUUGGCUAGCUCGCUAUGCUCCAAACAAAGUUAGAGAAGAUGCUGACAAACAACGUCUCUUCAUGAAAGGUCUCUACUAUGAACUUAGGUUGCAACUAGCUGGAAACACAUAUCCUACCUUCUAGGCUCUGGUGAACCAUGCUAUUGUGUUGGAUACCAUGCGAAAAGGCCAGGACAAGAAGAGAAGGAUGCUAGCACAAGGGUCUGGAGGCAACAACCGUCAACGUUUCAAUUCUCAGCAGGGCGAUCAACAGAGGUACCAUGGACCGGUUGGCCAAUGGGAUCGCAACCUACCACCUCAGCAUAAUCAUAAUCAACAGCAGAGUGGUCAGCAGAAUCACCGCUGAGGAAAUUCAAAUGCCACCUCUAUGAAGAGAAGUGCCCCCAAUACCCCUACUAGGUGUUUUCGCUAUGGAAAAGAAGGUCAUAUGUCAUAUGAUUGUCCAAAAAGGUUCAACCAGCACAACAACAAUCAAAAGUCUAAUUCUCAUGGAGCAAAGGUGAACCAUGUGGCUGCAGAAACAGUUCAGGAGGGACCAUAAAUCAUGAUGGGUACGUUCAGUAUCAACUCCAUCCCCGCUAUAGUUUUAUUUGAUUCUAGAGCUUCGCAUACAUUCAUAUCACAAGCAUUUGUUAGAGCUCAUAGCAUUCCACUAGUAGCCAUGAAAACCCAUAUGCUAGUAAACUCACCGGGAGGGACUAUACCAGUUUCAUAUUGUUGCCCCUCAGCAAGUCUUUCUUUAAGGGGGGUAGAUUUCCCGGUUAGUCCCAUGGUUAUGAGAACCUCAGGCAUAGAUGUGAUAUUGGGUUUGGAUUGGAUGAAGAAAUAUGCUACAGAAAUUAAGUGCAAAGAGAAUGUAGUAGUUGUGACAACACCCAAGGGAGAGAGAAUUAGUGUGGAUGUAGCAGUACAGGCUCCACCCACAGCUACAGUGAACCAGCUGGAUGAUGAUAUUCCGGAUUGUGCAAUGAAUAAAUUCCCAGGUGAUUUCUUAGAAAAGCUACCAGGUAUGCUACUUGAUUAGGGACAUUGAAUUUGCUAGUGCAAUGGAAUUGGUUUUCAGAGGCAGAAGCAACUUGGAAAAGAGAGGAUGUUUGGAGAGGGUCAUAUCCACGGUGGUUUGUUUAAGCACCUUUCAAUCUCGAGGACGAGAUUCUUUUAAGGGGGUAGAGUUUAUAACACCCAAAAUUUUGAUUUCAAUUAAUAAGAAUUAAUUGAAUUUAUUUAAGUAUUGUUGUGGGCAUUUAAUCUAGUAAAUAAAUAAUUUUUGUCAAAUUUAAAACUCAUCACAAGUUUAGAAACUUGAAUCUUGCAUUCAUGCCGGAGCAUAGUAUUUUUUUUUGUGUGUUUUCCUGUUUUUAUUUUAUUUGUUUGUGCUUUCAAAAUGCUAUUUGGAAAAGGUUUUGGAAAAGAAAACAGAAAAGAAAUUGGAAAAAAAAGAGAAAGGGGGAAGCCCUCCCUGUCGGCCUGGCGGCCCAGCUAGCGCCUGGCCCAGCGCGCUCUCGGCCCAGUGGCUAGGCCCGCGUGCGCAGCGCUCCCUCCCCCUCCUCUCAGCGCUUCAAUCUCCUUCCUCUAUUCGUAACCGAGCCGGACACGGCCGGGAGCCGAUCGAACCCGAUUUCUCAGGAUUACUUGCCAAACGCGUUAGCCGAGCCCCUAUAUAAUCCCUAGCAUCGCCCCCGCGCGUGUUUCCCAUCUUCGCCGCGCGAAAUCCGUGCCCUAGCUACAGCAGCCGCCAGACGGGAUCUCGCCGCAAGCCGAGCGCCUUGCCGCGCGCCGCGAGCUCCUCCCGUCGUUCUUCGGCCCCAGCAAAACACCCCCUCGAGUUCGCGGUGAGCUCCUCUACCCCGUGGUGUUUUCUUUUCGCAAAACGGUGCUCGGAAUCGGGAAGCCCGUUGACGCCGGCGAGCUCCUUUCGGCCGGCAAUGGAACCGCCGAGCCGGAACAGGCAGCCGGUCGGCCGGCCACUGCCUGGUUACCCCCUGUUGGUUUCUGAACCGUCCAAUCAAGAUCCAAGGGCCCAAAACAGAUCGUACCCCUUCGCUGCUCUUUUUCAUAAAGAGCCCCUGGAAGAUUUGAUAAUCAACCCGCGGUCCUUGGCGCCCUGCACCAGUUUACGUAUCCUGUCCGUUUGAGUUCAAAGGCGUUUUGAGAUAUUUACAUUUGCCACUGAUUUUAUAAUGCUCAUAAAAUAUUCAUUUUAACUCCGUUUUUGUCCAUUCAAAUUCCGUUGGAUUCGUAUUUACGGUCUCUACAUGUUAGAAUUAUUAGUUUCCUGUUUUGAAACUUUUUAAUUCUACAGUAGCAUUUAAUUAAUUAUUUCUCUAUAGGAAAUCUUAGAAAAUUCAUAUCUUUCACGUUUUAAUUCUGAUUUUCGUGAACAUUUUGUGUGAUCGUAGCCGUACGUUGGUGAUCAAGACCAAGUUUUUGAAGACCAGCAGGCUCAGGAGAGCUUUGAGCAAGGCAAGUAUAACUUGGGAUCAUCAUUGUUACCUAUUCACUUAUAAAUACAUAUAUAUCAUAUGCAUGCUAUCACCUUGUCGACCUUAGCAAAAUCAUAGAUGAUUGUUACCUGUAUUCCUUGCUACCUACUUGAUAUGCAUUUGGUGUAGAUGUGCUAGUGCUUGAUAUAAUCCAUGAUCUUGUAAGAUGAUUAAUAGCUAUGCAAGGAACAUAAAUGAAUGAGAAAUAACUGUAUGAGAUCUUGUCUGUACGUGAUCACCCGGGAUAACAGUGCAACCAUGAGGGCUAUAAUGGCUCUGGCUUUAGCUCAGUAUGAAGCCCUUUUCUAGCUUGUUAGAGGUUACCCGAAAGGGCGGAGAGGCUGAACCGUUUUGGGUAUAGUGUGGCCUCUGUCCGUAUGAGUAUAGGCUGCGAGUCAUUGUGCCAUCGGAAGGGGGCUCUAUAUCUGCGCGCAAAGGAAACCUUGCGGCCCUAACUUGUUAGACGAACUUUUGAAAGGCUUCAUAGUGAUCCCUGCCGACCUCCCUAGGAAGGGGGUUAAGAGAUUUGCUACCUCGGGCGAACGGGUAAAUCAUGACUCAUGGGUAAAGAUGUACAACCUCUGCAGAGUGUAAAACUGGUAUACUAGCCGAGCUCACGGUCAGGAGCGGCCUUGGGGACAUCUACAUUAAGAUGAUGAGCUUGUUACGUUAUUAUGUUCAUUUGAUUAUCAUUUAUGCUAACAAUUAAUUAUGCUUACACUUGAUCAUGUGAUUAAUGGAUUAUUUAUGCUACCUUGACAAUUGCUAUUUAAUUAUGAAUAUGCUAUCCACUAUUAAAAGCUAAAUGCAGUCAAACCAGUGUUAGCUAUUUGAGCCUCAUGAACCCCUGGUUAUACUUGUUGAGUACGAUAUGUGCUCACUCUUGCAAUUUCCCAACACCUCAGGAUAUGAUAAUGAAGAUGACUGGAAUGAGGAUUACCGCUAUGAGUACUAGGUUUGGAGUCAACCAGUCAACAGUGUCCCUGUGUGAAGCUUCCGUCGAGAGCGUUGUUUACUUUAUGCUAUCAUUUUUGUAUGAGACUAUGUGAUAUAUUAUAUUCCGCUAUGUAAUUAACACUGCAAUGGUACAUUUGAGAUUUGUCUACUUAUGUGUGCGACUAUUCCUGGGGCACAUAUGAGUCUUUUAUGCAUCCUAUUUUGUUCUUAAAAUAUGGGUGUGACACUCUAACUCUGGGCGGGUGCCCUGCCCCCGGGCCCGAUCACCUUCCCGUUCGUUCCCGUGGCUUCUGGAGUCUUCUAGAUGAUAGAAAAUUGCACGGCACGGUAAUAUCUCUAUGUAAACCCGACAUGUGGGCCUUUCCUCCGUAUUUCAUGAUGACCCCCUACAGAAAUAGACAAACACCAAAACUCAUGGAAUUCUAUCAGAUAAAACCCUAAGUCAGGGUGUUGAUUGCAUUUGGAUCCUUUUCCAUGAUUAGUUGACAGUUAAAUGUGAGCAUUAAGGACCGUCAACAAGCUCCCCUAAGCUUAACCUUUGCUCGUCCCUGAGCAAAGAUGAACUUAAGAGUUUCUGUAGUGGUUUCAUACCUUAAAGAUACUCAUGCGUUCAAACAAGAUAUCAUCUCUAAGUUAGGGUAAACUGUUAAGAUUUAAACUUACUCAUUUUACCUUCCAACUUGGGGCUUGCAACCGUCACCUGUGUCUUGAGCAGUUAAAAGAUAGAACGGUCUAGUCAAGCACCAUGUCUCUUAUUCUUGAUCAACUAUAGCUCUGGAGUUUUUGCAGAUUUUUCAAAAUAAACCUCAGAGAUUCCUUGUAUGACUCUCUCAAUUCUAUCUUUUGUGGUAUUUCUGGAUCCUUACCAAGGCAGUAAUAGUGUAUGCCUUCUCUCAAAGUAUGUGGUAUUUUUGGUAUGAGGUAUAGUGGCAUUGCCUUCUCUCUCACCCUACUCUAAUAAGGUUUUGAUAUCUGGAGCUCAUAGGUGGGAGACAGCUAAUACAUACUUACAAGACAUUUAUUGCAUAGUCAAACCAUGGAUCCUGAAGAACAAGUCAAUAAGUCAAAUCAAGAUGUGCAUGUGUGGCGAAUGAAUGGUGUAUGGUGAUGAUGGUGAUAACAAUGGUGAAAGUCUAAUUCUACUUGUGCUCUUUUGAGGGAUACAUAUCUUUCUUUCUCUUUUGAAACUUUUUGAGGAGAAUGAGAUGCUCUAUAUUUUUUUUCUUUUCUCUCAAGUGGGUAUCUUGUACCCCUAAUUCUACUAUCGGACACUUGUCCAUUUUUACCUCUCGUCUCAUUUUUUCUUUUCUUUUGAGGUUGGGGGCACUUGCCCAUUUUUAUUUCCUCGUAUCUUCUCAUUUUUUUAGAGUACUCACCUCUUUAAAUAAUGUAGCAAGUGGUAGUAACCAAAAUAUCUUGAGCAUUUAUUUCAUAGGGGAAAACAGAAAUAGGAGAAUGUUUUUCGCUAUUCUCUCCCAGAUUAGGAGUAGAAUAUUUUUGGGUGAAUCUGGAUAUGAAAAUGAGUGGAUGUAUGUGGAUGCGUACUUCCGGAGUAGAAGCAACAUGUGUGAGUCAAUGUGCAAGUGAAUCUUGAUUUAACCACAUGAUAAGCUCCUAAGGGUCUACACAGCUUGACCACACUUAAUGCUCAUAAGCAGUAAAAAGUAAAUGAAUGGUUCAUAGUCUAAUAAGCAUGUAUAUAUGGCUGUGACAGGAAUUUAAACUCUCAUCAUACAGGAACUCAUCAUGUGAUAUUUUAAAGAUUUUCAAAGAUAAAAUUCUCUAGAAUUAUAGCAUCUCUAGGAACAGAUAAACAGCAGCUCAACUUUCCCAUAUCAUAUCCGUUAACAACUUAGACUUUAGAUCAAGUACUCUUCCCACAAGUUCAGGAUUAGAGCAAAUCUUAAUUAAUAAUAGUCAUGCCUAAACUUGAGAGAGAUUUCAAUUUUGGGAACUAGUCAUGGUAGAGAAACUAUUCAUCAUUUCCAUGUGAGAGCUUAUCAUGAGGGUUCAUAGCAAACUUUAUUUAUUUAUUUAUUUAGCAAACUAAGCAAAUAUAUAUAUAUAUAUAAGCACAGAAUCUUUAUUUGGGUUUUUAUAAUUAUGCAUCUUUUUAUUAUUUGAGUAAAGUAUAAACAUGAGUAGAACACUUAGCUGGAUAAAUGCGGGUGCUCUCCCCCAAGCUGGAUUUUGACGUAAUUUCUUCUGAUGUAGCUAGCAGGUGGUGGAGGUGUAUUUGAAUAUCGACAGCACCGUGACAGCGAUUAGGAUGUCCUCCGUCUGCUAGUCUUCUUUGAUCCUUGAAUUUCGUGGAGCUCAAAUAGACAACAAAGCUUUGUGGAACUAGUUAAGUCGUGUUAGCAUAAAUAUCUAGCCUUUAUCAUGUUGAGUCUCCUCAAUAAAUGUUACACUCUUUGGUAGGAUCAUAAAUUUAUUUUUAUAUUUUUAUUUUCAUAGAACAUAAAUAUAUUUAUUUUAUUUUUAUGCCACCACAGUGAAUGUACUUAUGGGUUUUAUGCCAUGAGCAUACUCACAUGGGGCUUACUAUUUUUAACAUUUUUAUUUUCUUUUCAAGAUGAUAUGAACCUGAUUAACUAAGCAAACUAUUUUAAAUACUUGAAAGGAAAAGGAUAACUACCAAGUUUACCUCUUGGUAAGGCGUUCGUUGUUUUUAAGUCCUCCGAACGGGACUCUCUGUUUUCUCAGUCAUCCUGGGAUUCGCUGGAUGGCGUAGUCGGUGGUUCUAGCGGCACCUGCUCUUCGUGUAUAACUAUCUUCUCUCUACACACCUGACUCGGUGCUACGGUCUCCUCAGGACAGUUCUGUUCAAGUUGUAUGUCUUCAGACCUUACCACUUCUCCUUCGUAGUCUGCCCAUCCAUCCUUGAUGAUUUGCCUCCUCUGGUUGCGGUUGCGUCGUCUUCUUCUUGUCCUGACCUGCUUAGAGUCUUCAACUAUAUAGUUAGGGUCAGUAAAAUAAUGGCGUACCUUCUCAGAGAAGUGCAUGUGGACUUCUCCAGUUCCAAUGUAGAUGAUUGCUUUAACAGUGCUGAGGAACGGUCUCCCAAGGAUGAUGGCUGGAUCGUACUCGUCUUCUCCCAUGUCAAUAACCUGAAAAUCUUUCGGAAUGUCUGAUCUGCCAUCUGGAGCUGAAUGUAUGUUGGUUUUUGGGGCAUGGUUCCGAACAGGAGCUGAUAGGUGACUGCGGCCAUUAUGUUGACGCCUGACCCAGUGUCGCAAAGCGUCUUCUGGAAGUUGUAUCCAUUAAUCGAGCACUAGAUGCUUGCAUACAUGGGUCGUCCUUUUUGGUCAGGAACGGUGACUUAAGUCGACAAUCUUGACCUCCUUGAAUUGCAGUGACCAUCUUAGCUGACUCGGUCCACAUUUGCUUGUUCCUGUUCCUUCUGUUGGUCCUCUUCCGUGGUUCAUGUCGGGAUUGCUCUGAGAUUUGUGUAAUCUUGUUCUCGAAGGAAAACAUCACCUUCUUCCCCUUGAUGUAGAAACUGAUCUUGGCAUCACUAGUGUAGAUGACAGCGCCCGAGGUGUUCAGGAAUGGCCUCCCUAGGAUGAUGGGUGCCCUCUCAUCAGUAUCAGUCUCUAUCACCACGAAGUCUGCUGGAGCGUAUAAGGUACCAACUCGGACAUAAAGGUUCUUCAAUAUUUCCUUUGGGAAACUUAGUGCCUGAUCUGCAAGCUGCAUAUAUAGGUUGUUUCUCGUAAAGGAUGUGUAAUGAAUUUUUCAUAGAGUACCCUGGGCAUAAUGUUGACGCUGGAGCCAAAGUCGCAGAGUGCUUCUGGGAAGUCCACCAUGCCGAUGGAGAUCGGGAUGACGGGGCGUCUUGGAUCGCCUCUCUUGAUUUUGUUGAGGACGGUUGUAGGAGUAGUUGUUGUUGUUGUUGGUGUAGUUUACGUCCUCAAGCAUCUUAGGGCAGUGAUUGCCUGAGUGUCCAGUAUCUCCAGUGUGUUUGUGCUCGUAGAUCUAGGUUCUUCACUUGGUGGAGUCUAGGAGUUGUAAAAGUCAUUCAUAUUUUGCUCGAAGUGUACCUUACUUGAAGAGUGAUGGUACAGUAUCACCUUGUGGAAGCUUUCCUUUCUUAGUGGUUGUGCAUCGUGUUUGUAGCACCCUCCAUGGAUCAUCUCUUGUGAGCUAUGCCUUCCUUGUGUAAAUUGUUAACCUUCAUGAGUCUCUCUCUUUGUCUCCAAUGUGAGUUUAUCUCAGGACUUCCCAGGUCGAUAUUGAAAGUUUUCCUGCAGGGGUUAGUCCAACAAAAUAUCAAUAUCUACUAUAGCAUACUAUCGGCUCAAAGAUCAACCUAGACACCAUGUCUAAUUUGAUUUAGGAGGGCAUUUAAACCUAAGCACCAUGUUUAAUUUAAAAUCCCAUGGAAGUAAGAUCAACAUUCCUAACUAAGCACCAUGCUUAAUUAAGAGAUAAAUGAAACUACUCCAAACCUAGACAUAUACUAAAGCAAAUAAAGGUAGCAUGAGAGCAUUUAUAGAGUUGUACUCAAGUUGAGAUGAAGUAGUCUGAUUAGUAUUUAACAAAUUGAGCAUGUCUCAAAGGUAGGGACAACCAACAUAGCAACAUGGCAAAGGAUGUUUUAUGUAAAGUACUCCCCCAAGCUUGAAUUUUGCAAAAUUCAAGUUUGGAUUUAAUUCAAUGUUGUAUGAUGAUUGGUUGGACAUACCUUGUGCUUGUCAUUCAUCCGAUCUUCUUGCUCCAAUCCUGGAAAGGUUAGUGACAAGAAUACCCAAAUGAAUUUUUUUACAAUUAUCCUUAUAUGCUCAAUACACAAGGUAAUGUUGCAAAUAAUUAAAAGCUCAUGUUACGAUCUGAUCAGUGCUUAUUUUAGGACACUAAGCUUGUCCUUGGGAAACCAUCAAUUUAUGUCGGCGAAGUGGUUUCCCCUCCAACGCUGACCUAAUCAAGAUCAACUCAACGAGAUCUGCAAUAUUUAUUAUAGACAUAUGCAUCGACAGCCGCCCUUUUAAAGUUUUUAUAAAUAGAAAGGAAGAGGGGGUUGGAUAUCUCGAAUGUGGUGAUGUUGGAGAGACCAAUGGAUUGUGAAGAUAUUACAUAUGAGCAUGGAGUAAAUGAAGUGGCUAUGAAAUAAACUCCGUGCUCAUUAAUGUUUGGAGUGAAAUCCAUAUGGUAUGGUGAAAAUGGUAAGGUGAAUGUGGUAAAAAAGGAAAAGAAAAAGGAUACACGGACGACUUGGUUCGAAACUAGCACAGCUACCGUUCCCUGGCAACGGCGCCAGAAAGCUUGUUGGGUACAUUAAACGCAAACAAAAAAAUCCGCAAGCGCAUGGAUACCGAUGUAGCUUUCACCCGGGAGUAUUCCAGAGUAUCGAUUUUUCCACAAUGAACGUGAGUGUACUAAUUCAGAUUCAAGAUCGCCUAAGGAUAACUAUAUAAUUAUUUUUGUGGGAAGAGAGGAAGUUUCCUAAGAGUUCUCUAGUUGAUCUAAGAAUCAAGAAUUACUUCAAAGAUUAUUUAUUUCGGGACAUCAGAACACUAACCACAGAAAGAGAUGAGAAGGGGGCUAGGAAGCUCUGACUAUGGUCCUACAAACACCGAUCCGAACGAGGUGGAAUACGUCGACCAUUAGGGUUGUCACUACCCUAGGGCUACCACAACAAUCCGCACGAUUGGGUACAAUUCCAGGUAAUUGCAAGACUAAACACCACGUCUAAUCUAUUAAUUUCUACUCUAGUGUUAUAAAGACUAGAGCACUUGAUGCAAGUAGGAAUCCAAUAAAUAACUUGAAUGUAAAUAAAAGUAAUUAAAUAACUCCGGAAUUAUGAAUUGAAGAACUUGGAGAACGAACCAGUUGCUGCAAAAGUAUAAUGUUGAGGAAGAUCCGACAGAACCUGCUCCUCCUACGCCCUCCUCUUCUCUCUCCCUAUUUUCUAGAUUACAACUAGAACUAACUAGAACUAGAACUAGAGGAACUAGAACUAGAACUAGAUGAACUAGAGGGAUCCUCUCUACUUGGAUGAAGAAUUGAAACCCUAGCUUUGAUUCUGUAGAAGAGGUAUGAUCUCCAGGGGCCAGGGGUCCUUGCUUAUAUAGUCCAGUCAGGUGAAUCUGGGCCGUCGGAUCAAACCGACAUUGAUUGAAUGGUUAUCCUUGAUCCUUUAGGUCGGUGGAGCGUAAUCCGCAAGACGGGUCCUGAUUGGACUCUAACUCAGGGCGGGCGCCCUAGGGGGGAGGGCGGGCGCUCUGUCCCCAGGCCCGAUCGCCUUCCCGUUCGUUCCCGUGGCAUCUAGAGUCUUCUAGAUUAUGGAAAAUUGCGUGGCAUGUUAAUAUCUCUAUGUAAACCCUACAUGUGGGCCUUUCCUCCAUAUUUCCUGAUGACACCCUGUAGAAAUAGACAAACACCAAAACUCGUGGAAUUCUGUCACAUAAAACCCUAAGUCUAGGUGUUGAUUGCAUUUGGAUCCUUUUCCAUGAUUAGUUGACGGUUAAAUGUGAGCAUUAAGGACCGUCAACAUGCAUCAAGUGCUCUAGUCUUUGAAACGCUAGAGUAGUAAUUAAUAGAUUAGACAUGGUGUUUAGUCUUACAUUACUUGGAAUUACACCCAAUCCUGCAGAUUGUUGUGGUAGCCCUAGGGUAGUGACAGCCCUAACGGUCGACGUAUUCCAUCUCAUUUGGAUCGGUGUUUGUAGGACCGAAGUCAGAGCUUCCUAGCCCCCUUCUCAUCUCUUUCUAUGGUUAGUGUUUUGAUGUCCUGAAAUAAAUAAUCUUUGAAGUAAUUCUUGAUUCUUAGAUCAACUAGGGAACUCUCAGGAAACUUCCUCUCUUCCCACCAAAAAUAAUUAUAUAGUUAUCCUUGGGUGAUCUUGAAUCUUAAUUAGUACACUCACGUUCCCUAUGGAAAAUCGAUACUCUGGAAUACUCCUGGGUGAAAGCUACAUCAGUAUCCGUGCGCUUGCGGAUUUUUCUGUUUGCGUUUAAAAUACCCAACACACUACAAGUGGCAAACGGUUUUACCGCAAGCGGACAGUAGUCAAUGCAGCACUUCACCAGGAGUAUUCCAGGUAUCGUAUUUUCCACGGGGAACAAGAAGUGGAUUAACUAGACCAAUUGAGUUGUCAGAUGAUGAUCAAAGGGCUUAGGAUUGGGUGGAGAGGUAUUUCUAGUAUUUAGCUUAUGGCUAAGCUAUCCUAAGUAUACUGAGAGUUAACUCCCUUCCUACUGUGGCCGAUAGGUGAAAAGGGUGUGGCGAAACACUUCCCUAGGCAGCUACCAUGCAGGCCAACUAUUAUUUGCAAGUUGCCUAACAACACACUGAAGAGAACUCCUAAGGUCUAGCAGAGGCCUGUCAUGCUUCGCUGCUGGCGUUCUUCAGGUGCGACAAGAAGUCCACAAGGACAGACUUAGUCUAAACACCACGUCUACACUAAUUCUACUACUCUAGACCCAACUAAGGUUUCAAGCACUUCACAUAAGGCAAAGCAAUGUGCCAGUAGGCCAGUUGUAUACUUAAAAUGAACUAAGAUAGAAAGUAAAUACUGGGAGUACUCAGAUGAAAGACAACUAGAAGGAAGACUUACUAGAAGACAAGCAUCCACUAAGGUGCUCCUGGGAGAAGACUCCCAACAAGCCGAGACUUCUCCUCGGGGAACUCGUCACUCUCUUGCCUCUAUUCUCACACUUAGCUAAGAGUAGCUCUUCCUAAGAUACAUCAUGCUUAACUAGGCUCUCUAAGGGGGUAUUUAUGGGGGAGAGAUGGAGUAGGGGCUACUCCAGUGCCACAUCAGCGAUCCAUGAGCUCCCUCUUCUCCACAGUUGGAUCAAACGGACCUUCCCACUGCCAUAGAUCAAGGGUGGAGGUAUUUCCACACAUGUUUGGCGUGUGGAAGGUCGGUGGAGGCAAACCGACCUUGGGGGCCCACAUGUUAGGGUCAGCCAACCGACCUAUUGCUUCCAUGAGGGCUCCACCAAGCUUCUAGAAGGUGCUGAGGUCGGUGGUAGUGUGGGCCAGGUGGGACCCCACCAAAGGUGGGUCGGCCGACCUACGCUUGGGGGGGUUGGCCCAUCACCUUGCUCCACAUGUUGUCCCCACUUGUCAUCUUCAAUCUUUUGUUGAUUUGUGGUGGUUUUGGUUCUUGAUCAUCUUUGCUUCAUUUGAGCUUGAUUAGGCUUGAUUAGUGGCUGUAUGCACCUGCAUCCAAAUAAUGACAUGUACAUAUAGAACCAAGUGAAUUGUACCUAUGUUACUACUUAGUUGCUUGGUGUUAUCCCCAAAACUUAACCAUUGUUGAUGGUUUUAGUGGUCGAAAACCAUAGUGAAAAUACCAUCAACAGCUAGGCAUGACACUAUACGACACGAUGGCUUAGCCAUGCUAUGCCUGAUAGUGCCACCGUGUCGAUGUUCGGCCCAAGCACGGCCUUAUGGUUGGUUAGCCAUGCCGUGUUGUGCCCAUCAGCACUGCAGCCCAUCGUGCCUCCAUGCCAGCUUGAACAACUGCAAGGCACCAUCGUUGUGGCACAUGAGGCCAUUAUCGUCGCUCAUGAAGGAGCUUGGGGAUGCACCACCACUACCCCCUAUGCAUGUGCAGAUGUGCCCCUACCAAGCGCCACCGCCACCGCAGCGACUCUCCCGGUCAUCAUGUCACUGCAGCAGUACCUCGGGUGAACACCGUGGAGCCAUCACAGCGUCUUGCCAGACUAUCACAUUGUCAUCGUAGACAUGUCUAGAGGGGAGAAGACGCAGGAGUAGGAGAGGGAGUGGCCUGGGACCUAUGACGAUUGGCCUGGCAAGCUAGAGUAGAGGUUUGGUCAUAUUGGAUUGAGACUAUUGGAGGAGCAAGGAAGAGAGAAAUUGUAGCUAGGAGGGAGGAAAAUGAGAGAGAAUGAGGACGGAGGUAGCUUUUAUACCUAGGUUUUCUAUCUAGUGGUACAUUUAGUGGUCAGGAUUGCUAGAAGUUCAUCGAAUGGCUGAAAUUGAUUGGGCCACCAUCGUGCCGCCCUAUUAUCCAUGUCGUGUCUGGGCCGAUAUUACAGGCUAACAUGGCAGGCCCAGGCACGGCACUAUGAUCGGGCCAAGCCAAGCACGAGCACGGUGUGAUGUGGGCCAGACUAUGCCUGGGCCAUGUUUCUUCAUGUCAUGCCUAGGCUGGCCCAUAGUGCCCAUGCCAAAUGGCCAAAUAUAGCACCAGCUCACGCAUUGUCGUCCUUCGAGGAGUUGACCUCAGGGUAGGUGGAUGCUGGUGGCAUGGCGUUGAGGUUAAGAAUUCACCUUAGAUGGUGUCCAGCAAGAUCUGCAUAGGCACUUAGGGAAGUGCUCACAGAAGAGGGUGGUGCAGUCGGUUGCCUCCCUACAAGACAGGGAAGUGCUUGCGGCUGCAUUCCUCAGUCUAUAGGGGAGUGAGGGUGAUACAGUCGCUUGCCUCCCUGGCAUCGGGUUUGAUCCCGAGCAUAGUGGUGGUGGGGCUCUUUGCCUUGAAGACGAUGCGCCUGCCGUCCCAUUCACUGUCCGAGGCAUACUAGACAUGUUGAUCGUACUCUAAGGUGGGAUAGAAGGGCAUACUAUACCAUGGCUCCAUGGGCUCUCCCCCUAAUUAGUCAUGGAUUAGAUGUGCUGAUCGUCAUAUGAGGUGGGUUAGCAGGGCAUGCCAGGGCGUUCCUAGCCCUAGAUAUGGCACCGGAAGUCCCCUAUCUCUGUCUCACCCAUCGAGCGUGUCCAGAGUGUGUGACCAGAAUGUCUCUCUGCCCCUACUAGGGUGGGAGAGGCUCAUUGUUGACGGUCCUUAAGUAUCAAUUUAGUUAUCAAAUAAAUAAAGAAAAGGAUCUAAAUGCAAUCAACAUCUAGACUUAGGGUUUUAUCUGAUAGAAUUCCACGAGUUUUGGUGUUUGUCUAAUUCUGCAGGGCGUUAUCAGGAAAUACAGAAGAAAGGCCCACACGUCAGGAUUACAUAGAGAUAUUAAUGAGCCGCGCAAUUAUCUUACAUCUAGAAGAGUCCAGAAGCCACGGGAACGAACGGGAGACCGGAUGGGCUCGGGGGCAGGGCACCCGCCCUGGCCAGGAGUCCAAUCAGAACUCUCUUUCGGGAUUACGCUCCACCGAACUAAAGGAUCAAGGAUAACCAUUCAAUCAAUGUCAGUUUGAUUCAACAACCCAUAUUCACUUGGAGGGACUAUAAAACUAGACCCCCUGGCCCCUGGAGGAGCUGACCUCUCAACCCUAAUUCAUUAUUCAUCAAGGGAGAAGAAGCCUCUGAUCAAGCCUAGAGCCACCACAUCAAUUAGACAUCUAGAUUAGCAUAGAUACAUAGGAUUAGAACUAGAAGGAGUCAAUCUUUGAUUGGUUUCUGGGUCUGUCAAGAGGAUUCUUGGUAAUUCUCUAAUUGUUCUUCUAAUUGUUCAUUUUUGUUCUUCAAUAUUAUGAAUAUGACUUUGUUCUACUUCAAUAUAUUGCUUAUGACUUUGCUCUACUUGUUUAUAUUCGCAAUUAUAUUGUUCUUAGUUUGUAAUAGUUAUAUACUUGGCUUAGUUAGAUUGGAAUUAUAUACAUGUUUAGGAUCGUAUAGCGUUUAUCCAUCGGAUCCAUGGGUAAAUGAUAGAUAUUGUGUAGGCGUGGUGCGUAUACCGUAUUUAUCUGCGAUUGUACCCUAUAUGCCAGAUCGCGGGGUAGUUCGUGAUAGUGACAACUUCAUUGAUUCUUAUAUAGUCUCCCUUUUGUGUAUAAGGCUGGCAGAGCAACAUUAUUAUAGCGGAGUGAUUGCUAUGUUUCUCAUUUACCUUGAUAAUAUCACUAUGCAUGGGCGUAAUCUUGUCUCACAAUGAUUGCUAAGUAUAAUUGCACUAACUAUGAUAUGCUAGACUGUAUAGUUAAGAAUAACUUAGGAAAUAUUCUUGUAGUUCGUCCUAAUUCCAUGCUAAUGAUUUGCUAGAAUAUCUAAUUGAGGUGCUUAUCAUAUUUAUAUGUGGCUAAGUUAUGCUGAUCAUAUUAAUUAUCUUUGUCACUAUUCAUCACUUUAUAUAUCCUUUAUGUGACACUUAUCUCUGUAUGAAAGAGUUAGAUAAACAUUAUCAAUUAUACAUGCAAUGAUAGAUACUCAAUUCUAUAUUCCAUUCUAUAAUCAACAUUGAUGGUUACUAAUCCCUUCCCAGUGGUAAAAAUAUAAAUAACGAUACGUGGAAUACUUCACGGUUAAAAUGCUACAUCGGUAUUAAUCUGUGCGCUUGCAGAUCCCAUUUGUUAUUUAUUUAUAUGAGCAAUUGCAUAUUUCAAUACCGCGUCUCUUAUGUCAUGCUGGGGAUGACAACUUGGCUUAAGUGGCAUGAGGGAUAGGUUUGGCAUUUUUGGCACUGUUACCAGAAUUAGAAAACUAAGUCUACUUUUGGUAAUGAUGUUAAGAAUACCCAACAAGCAUUUUUGGCACCGUUGCCGGGGAAGGUUGAUUACUAAUAUGUAAUGAAUAUGGAAUUUUGAGUCAUCAUUCGCAUCACUAAUAUGAUUAAGCUUAUCAAUUCUCUUAUACAGUUUUACCCUGAUAUUUUUCUAUUUUAUCUUAUGUAGGGUAAUGUAUGAGUAGAAGACAUCUUCCAGGAAAUUGUGUUGACAAUCCCGAAGCGUUAUUCAGAAAAACAAGGGCCAAGCUCAAGAAGAGAUCAUCAACACUUCAGCACGAAGCUCCAUCCAAUCAAGAAGAUCACCGGAACUUGUCUUCAGAAUUGGAAGUAAUGGCGAACAAAUCGAUCCGUGAGUUCUCAGCUCCCACUACGGACAACAUCCAUACUGGACCUGCUAGAGAGAUUGAUGGCAACUUUGAGCUCAAGCCUGGACUUAUCAACAUGGUGCAAUCCAACCAGUUCUCUGGGAAAGCACAUGAAGACGCUAGUGCUCAUCUCCAACACUUUCUGGAGAUUUGCAGCACAUUUACCAUAUCUGGAGUCCCCAGAGAUGCUAUACUACUUCGCCUCUUCCCAUUCUCACUAUUAGGGAGAGCGAAGCAGUGGUUAUAUGCUACAAAGGAGAAGAAUACUACGUGGGCACUCUGAUCCAUGAACUUUCUGGCUAAGUUCUUUCCCAUGGGCAAGACCAAUGCUCUCCGUGGGAAGAUUACAAGUUUUCAGCAACAGCAUGACGAAUCCGUUCCAGAAGCAUGGGAGCGCUUCCAAGACUACAUCCUAGAAUGUCCCCAUCAUGGAAUGGAGAACUGGCUACUAAUGCAGACAUUUUAUCAUGGACUCGGAAACAGUGCCCGAGAAACCAUGGAUGCUGCAGCUGGAGGAGCAUUCUUAUCACUCACCAUAUCACAAGCCACAGCUCUUGUGGAGAAGAUGGCAUCCAACUAAGGCUGGAAUGAAGAGAGGACCCAGACACGCAAGAAAGGUGGAGGUAUGCAUCAGCUCAAGGAGGUAGACAUGCUGUCUGCAAAGCUAGACCUGCUCAUGAUGAAGCUCAAUGAUAGAGCUGGAGAUAAGAAGGAAGUUAUGCACAUCUACUCUCACAUGACUUGUGAGGAGUGUGGAGAUACUAGACACUCAGGCAAUCACUGCCCUCAGAUGCUUGAGGAUGUGAACUACAUCAACAACAACAACAAUAACUACUACAACCGUCCUCAACAAAAUUAAGGUUGGAAUCAACAGAGGCUAAACUACUCAGUUAAUUAUCAAGGUAACAAUUCUUACAACAAUAAUAAUUUUCAACAUCUGAGAGAGUUAGUGUCUAAUCAAGGAAAGCUAAUGGAUAACCUAUCUAAGAAAUUGGCAUCUAAUGAUAAAAUGCUAGAAAGUAUAAAUAAUAGAAUGGAUAAUUGCUCUACUGCCAUCAAGAAUCAAAUUAGCUUUAAUAAAAUGAUUGAAUCUCAGUUAAAUCAAAUAGCUGCUGCUGUUCCUGCUACUAACCCCAGUAUACCAUCACAAUCGGAAGGAUUAGAAUCUGCAAAUCUUGUAGACAUGUUUGAUGCAGGUAACUACUGGAGUAACCCCGUCACUAAAGUUAAUACUGACCUUCUGCCGGUCAAGAGAGGUGAUCCAGGAUGCCCCGUCAUCCCGAUCUCCAUCGUCAUGGUGGACUUCCUAGAAGCACUCUGCGACUUUGGCUCCAGCGUCAACAUUAUGCCCAGGGUACUCUAUGAAAAAUUCUUUAUAUAUCCUUUAUUAGAAACAACAUCUAGAUUAGCAUAGCUACAUAGGAUUAGAACUAGAAGGAGUCAAUCUUCGAUUGGUUUCCAGAUCUGUUGUUGGUGCAAAAGCUGAUCUGCAAACACAAAGGGCUAAUACCCGAUUCAAACGUUAAGGCGUGCCAGCCGAUUUGACCUUACUAUCGGCAAAGGUGGUAACUCGAACACUUUGGUCCCGACAACAGCGAUGCGCCCGGAUGUCACGGCCAAGAGGUAUUCACGCGGAACUUGAGAACACGCCGAGCUUAAGUCGACGAAUUCCUAAGAACUCGUAAUGAAAAGGAAAAAGUAUGACGAAGUCGUCGAAAGUAGAUGCUGGAAUAUGAGUAAAAACUUGUGUUUGAUUGAUUGAUAGAUGUCUCAUUACAAGGCCCUAGGGUUUAUAUUUAUACCCUGCUCAAAGAGCUACAACCAGACACGACUAGAACUCGAAUUCCAAAUUACACAGAAUCCGUAUACAAAAUGAUUUAAAUAACCAAGGAAAACAUAAAACUAUCCCCCCGUGACAAACUGGAACACCUCCACAAGCCGAUCGGUAGCUUCCAGACUCUCCCUCCAUAUCAUCGGCAGACUCCCUCGUCAUAGUCAUCGGCAGACUUCCUUGUCGUAGCCAUCGGCACAGACACAUCACCACCUAUGGACUUAGUCAUGUUCAACCCCUCCUCCAUCAGCAACCAUCCUCAUCGGUAAAUCAUCCUGUAGAUUAAACACCGCCGUCUUAUCUUGCCGGCCUACACUUUACCAAACAUGUACACGUGCCCAAAAACGGCGUCAACACAUGCCCCCCAAUUUCGGAGUAUGAAAUCAUUAAUGCUGCGAAAUUCUCUGCAGUAAUGAUGCUCUUUUCCGCAAUUAAUGCUCCUAACUUGGUAACCGACAACCUCAAUCUGAACAAGUCUGAUCCUAUUCUUUUGCAGAUUCCUCGAAAUCCUCAACUUCCCAAACGGGCAUUUCGAUUUUAGUCGCACAUCAGCAAUAUUACCGUUACAAAGACUUGCCGAUGGACUGACCAGGACGUUCGUACCUUAUCUUUCCAAACGGCUAUCUCCACUUUAUUAGCUCAUCGGCAAUAUGACCGUUACAAGACGCUGCCGAUGGACCGACCAGGAGAUCCCGCACAGUAAAAUAUCUCUGGAUAAUGACCGCCUCCUGUCAAAUCACCUGCACAAUCCCUUGAUUACCGUGCGAACAGUUACCAUAUCUACCUCAGCACCCUCGGAUUUCACGGAUGCAGCAAAGAGAUAAGUCAGAUUUGCCCUUGCCUGUUUUGUCCUAUAAAUAGUUCCUUCUCGGGUACUCCUUCUCCAUCACAUCAUUCCACAACUCCAACUUCACUUUCCCGGCGGCGGCGCUGUCCAAAGGCUCAAAGAUCUUCGACGAAGUCCCUUCUUCACCACCUCCGAAGCUCUCAAACAUCUUCUCCGUGGUAAAAUGGCCGUCAACUUCAUCGUUCCUGAGGUCAGUCCUUCGCGCCAUCUGUUGUACUUUUCCUCGCACCCCUGUUCAUCCGCAAUCCAUCUUACUGAACAUUUUCUCUCUUUUUUUUGUGUUUUUCUUUUCCAUCUCCAAAACCACUAGGAAUUGGCUAACAAAAUUGUCAUCCCCACCGAUCAACCACACCUCCAAUGCCUUGGCCCGCUAGGGGAUCCAGAUCCAACCAACCUCAUAAACGCAGAAACCAACAGGAUCCCUUUUAGAGUAGAGAAUUUUUCUUUGGAUCUGUGGAAGGAUACUUUUCGUUCCUGGCCCAGCCCUACCGUGGGGUGGAAGGAUUGGUUCUUGAGGGUCAGCAACUCCAAUGAAGUCCAGUGGGGCGAGAGAAAGCUAGACCAAUGCAUUAGGUUGUCCAUUGCCGAUAUGCAUAAGGUUGAAUCACUGUUGAUAGCUGCAUCUUAUUUCUGGUCAGACACCCUCAAUGCCUUUGUCUUUGGCCAUGGCCCUGCUUCCCCUACACUUGCCGAUGUAGCUAUGCUCACUGGCCUGGAUGUAUCUUUUGCCGAUAGCACCCACUUCUUCGAUACCAAACCCAGUGCUAAGGUAGAAACCCGCACCAUCGGCGGCUGGUCGGGGUAUAUCCAAAAAUACCGCAAAACAGGCUCUGUUGACACAAAAGAACAGACCUGCUUCUUGAACAUGUGGCUAGACAAAUUCGUAUUUUGUGGCCGAUCGGCAGGACCAACUUCCGUCUACCUAGCAGCAGCAGAAAAUCUGGCCAAUGGUGGCCGAUUUCCCCUCGGCCGAUACCUGCUUGGGGUAGCCUAUCACCUCCUCCACCAAGUAACCAGGAAGCUCUUACACGGCCAGUCCAUCGGUAACUUGGGAGGCCCUUGGUGGUUCAUCAACAUGUGGCUCAGCCUCCACAUGCACAAGCAUCUGGAGUUCAAUCUCUUUGCACAGUGCUUUCCAAGGGACAUAGCAGAGAACCAUGUGCUGGGUGAAGAAGAAUCGGCAACACGCCCUCCCUUGAACUUCGGUGAAGCUGUCAUAGUUCUGCCUGGCACAGGGGGUAAUCCAGAUCAGGUUAGCCGAUUCUUCCAAACCUUGUACGAAGGUUUGGCCAGAGAUGAGCGAGCAUGGUUAGCUUAUGAUGACCCAGACACCGUGUUUCCUCUUGUUUUCAACCCGUUCGACAAUGCUCUUGACAAGGACAAUGAAGUAAUGAUGGCAUUGGUGACUACCAGAGCCAUACCAGUGAACUUCUUUGGCAGUGGAAAAACCUCUCCCCAGACUCAUGAAUUCUACAAUCCAUCGGCACUAGCUCGUCAGUUAGCUUUCGGCCAGCUGCCGAUUGCACUCUGUUAUGCCGAUGUGAUAAAGCCCAGGGAAACCAUCACCAGCCUCCUUGAAUGGAUUCGAGUAGCCCAGCUGCCAUCAAGUGCCGAUACAGAUGUAGACCUGUCAGAGUGGAUCCCGGCCGCCUUUAUCACUCAGGCAUACAAGCAGUGGUGGGCAGAAUGGAAGGAGCACCUAUUCUGCAAAUCGGCUCUUUCGUAUCGCGGCAUGAUCGAUCCUGAGUACGAAGUUCCCACUGACACUGUAAGUAUCUUUAAACCGAUGUUUCAGUUUUUUUUUCCAUUUUAUUUCCAUCGGUAAUACACUUCUAUGCCAUCUUGCAGGUUGACAACAUCCCUCCAUCGGUCAGCAGGAGUGGCAAGCCGAUUGACUUGUUUGCAUCAGGUCCAAUUUCCUCAAUCGGCCACAACGCUCCUACCCUGGCCGCCAUCGUGCAUCGAGGCAUACGCCUCAAAAAAGUCACCACCAGGAGAACUCAGACAUCACCAUCGGUAGCUGCUUCCACCCUAGCACAGGCUUUUAAGGUAACUGCUAAACCUCAUCACUUAUACCGAUCUUACUUCUAUAUCGACUAUAUUAGUACUGACAAAUUCUCUUUUCUGUAACAGCAAACCAGUGCAUCGGCAAGAACCAAAAGCAAAGGUGCCGAUGCCCCCCAAUCCAGCCAGCAAAAGAGAAAGGGUGCCAAAGGUACUAAAGCACAGGCAAAGCGCCAGAGAGUAGCAACUCCCCCUCCUCCUCCAGCAUCUCCAAUUCCGGCGGAGUCUUCCCCUUCUUCUCCAGAAGUUCAGACGCAACAAGUACCAUCUCCCCCACCAAUGCAAGAAGCACCAUAGGUGGAAGAACCUCAACAAGAAGUACCUCAGCCAGAAGACACAUCGGCUGAUGUACAUGAACCAACUGCCGAUCUAGCAGGUUCCAUCAUAGCAUCAGUGGUCUCUUCCAUCCAGACAAGAACUGCCCUUCCUCAAGGUAACACAUUUUAUUACUGCCGAUGAAUUUAUUCCUUUUCGGUCUUAUAACCCCUUCUGUUAAUUUUCAGCUGACGUAGCUCCAUCGGCAACUCUGGCCGAUCAACCCGUGGCCCCAUCGACAUCUUCCAGUCAGAGGUGAGAGAUUGCCUUGAAACAAGUAAGCUAUCCAAUCUCCAUCCAUAUUAUUUACCGAUGCUCUGACCAUGGAAUGACCCACUUUGUCCUCCUUUUCAGGAACAGGACUCUCCUGACAGCCUAUUCUCCUUCGCCAUUGAUAUCUCCGAAGACGAAGGUGAGGAAGCAAGUUCCUCCCAGGCAGUUGGAAUCACAUCAGCAGAGAUCAGGGCCAAGCUAGAAGAACUGUCAGCUCUCCUUCAUCAAGACACAGCUCAACUGGUCGAUGAUUCUGACCCAGCCAACGUUCUGUUCAAGGCCCUCAGAGGCCAGAUUCCUGCCGAUACCGAGGAAACCCUCUUCCAGGCCGCACAUCUGGAGAGUCGUCAGCUGCAGUACCAGAGGGCCGCCCGGCGCCUUGCCGAUAGAGCUGCUCAGACCCGGCUUUCUGAGGAGAUGAUGAAAGAGAAGCUCCUGACCGAUGAGAAGCACAAGACCAUCGGUACCUUGAAGUCAUCUGGCGAAGCAUUGAAACAGAAGAUCUCUGAUUUAUCGGCAAAAAGAGAAGCCCUGCUGGCAGAACUCAAGCAAGUGGAGGACGCUCUAUCCCAAGCCCAACAGGAAGAAAACCAACUGCCAGAGACCAUCAAACUCCUCGAGCAAGAGCGAAAUGCCCAUGGUCGCAAAGCACUGCAGUUGAAGAAGAAAUUGAAGCCGAUAGAAGGCUCUGCCGAUGAAGACAUCAAAGAAAUAGAAGCAGCCGACCAGAUCCGCCUACGCGCUAUAUCAACCAUCCAAGCGCUGCUAAGCAUGUGAGCUCUUCAUCGGCAACAAACUUGCCUCUUCCUGCUCUUCAGCUUUCUUGAUGUUUAGUCUAGCCGAUAGGACUGUUAUCGGCAUCCUUUUGAAACAUUAAGUCCGGCCCCAGAUACAUUUUAAUCCAGCCGAUAGGAGUCUUAUCGGCAUUUAAACUUUUAUGCAUCGACCCAUAUGCUGGGGUAGUACUUUUUUAAAUAUUUGUCAUUUAACGCUCUGGGAAAUUCAACUCCUUCGAGAGUUUCUAAAAUGUAGGCAUUACCAAGAGCCGAUCGUCUUAUCCGAUAGGGACCCUCCCAAUUGGGAGACCAUUUUCCAAACUUCGAACUUUUAGUCCCGAUCGGUAAAAUUAAUUUCCAUACCAAGUCUCCAUUGGCAAACUCCUUAGCCUUCACUUUCUUAUCAUACCAUCUAGCAACUCUUUUCUUAUUCUCUUCUAUACUCAUCAAGGCUCUCAGCCGAUGCCCUGCUAGAUUAUCCAACUCGUCUGUCAUCAAAGUAGCAUAAUCAUCGGCAGCCAACUUGUCUUGAAAAGAUAAUCGCCUAGACCCAGCCUUAAUCUCCCAAGGUAAUACUACAUCAUGCCCAUACACCAACUGAUAGGGUGAGACCUUGGUCGAUCCAUGACAAGCCAUCCGGUAUGACCAUAAAGCCUCAUUUAACAAUGUAUGCCACCUUCUAGGAUUUUCUUCAAUCUUCCGUUUAAUAAGCUUAAUAAUUCCUUUGUUAGACACCUCGGCCUGCCCAUUGGCUUGAGCAUAGUAAGGAGAAGAAUUCAAUACUUUAAUCCCCAUACCGAUUGCGAAUUCAUCGAACUCCCCUGAUGUAAACAUAGUACCCUGAUCGGUAGUAAUUGUUUGUGGAAUUCCAAAUCGGUAAAUGAUAUGCUCCUUCACAAAAUCAAUCAUACUGGCCGAUGUGACUUUCUUCAAAGGAAUAGCUUCAACCCAUUUAGUGAAAUAAUCGGUGGCAACUAGAAUAAACUUAUGCCCUUUGCUAGAUGGUGGAUAAAUAUGGCCGAUCAAAUCAAUAGCCCAUCCUCGGAACGGCCAUGGCUUUAUAAUAGGAUUCAUAGCCGAUGCAGGUGCCCUUUGAAUAUUACCAAACUUUUGACAUCCUUGACACCCUUUGAAAUAUUUAAAGCAAUCUUCAAGUAUAGUCGGCCAAUAAUAUCCAUUCCUCCUAAUCAUCCACUUCAUCUUGAAAGCCGACUGAUGCGCUCCACAUACCCCUUCAUGGAUUUCUCCCAUCAAACUCUUAGUUGGUUGCUUGAAACCGAACUCGUCUUUCAACUUUCUUAGAUGGAUCUUUCAAAUAAUCAAUGAUUUCUUUUCUCCAAUCAUCGGCACCAAUUGCCGACAUCGUAUUGAUCAUAGGCUGAUAUCCCGAAGCAUGCUGAGCCAACCGAUUUGCUUCUUCAUUAUGCAAUCGAGGAACAUACUCUAAUCAGAAGUCUUUGAAUUCCUUUAACAGUUGCAUACUCCUUUCAUAAUAAGUUAUGAGAACUUCACUUCGGCAUUCAUAGCUCCCAGCCAAUUGAUUUAUAACUAGCAUAGAAUCUCCGAAGACCUCAACAGCAUCAGCAUGAACUUCUCUCAACAACUCUAAUCCCUUUAUUAAAGCUUGAUACUCAGCCUGAUUAUUUGUUGACGUGGCAACAAUCGGCAAGGAAAACUCAUAUUUCCUUCCCCGAGGGGAAACUAGUACUAUGCCGAUUCCUGCCCCUCGGGCACAUGUGGAUCCAUCAAAGAAAAGCGUCCAAGGCACAAUUUCCAAAGCCUCCACUGUUCCGCAAUGCUGAGUCACAAAAUCGGCCAUAAUUUGUCCCUUAACUGGCUUAGCCGAUUCAUAACGCAGAUCGAACUCUGACAGCGCCAAAAUCCAUUUACCUAUCCUGCCGCUCAUAAUCGGCAUGGACAGCAUAUACCGGACCACAUCAUCUUUGCAAAUAACAGUGCAUUCGGCCGAUAACAAGUAAUGCCUUAACUUGAUACAAGAGAAAUAUAAGCAUAGGCAUAGUUUCUCAAUAGCCGAAUACCUGGUUUCAGCAUCAAUCAACCUCCUGCUUAAGUAAUAAAUUACAUGUUCCUUCCCUUCAAAUUCUUGAAUUAAAGCCGAACCGAUGACCGUCUCAUCGGUAGACAAAUACAAUCUGAAGGGCUUUCCUUGCUGAGGUGGAAUUAGAACUGGAGGAUUCACUAAAUACUUCUUGAUUUCAUCCAGAGCCAACUGCUGUUCCUUCCCCCAAAUAAAUUCUUGAUCGGCUUUUAACUUAAGAAGAGGACAGUCAUAACCGUUACACUGAGGACAAUAUCUGAUAGUUGGAAGCUUGAUAUUCUCCUCCCAGCAAUGGAUGAAGAACGGACAAUUCCAGUGAUCCCUAUGCCGAUUCCACUCCUGUCGGCGUCUUUCUUCUUCCCGACGAUAAUCUUCCUGCUGGCGCCGAUAUCGGUCCUCACGUUGCUGCCAAGUUUCCCGAGGUCUUCUGUGAGUUAUAACGAUACCAGAUCGGGGAGGCCUUCCUGAGCUGGUUCCUUCCUGGACCAAGCCCCUUCCUCUCGCAUCGGCAGUAGUGACUUGAUGCUGAGGAUCCACCGAUGCACUUCUUUCGGCUGCUUCUGAUGUUAAGAAAUUGGCCUUUCCCUUAGCAUCCAACAUGUUCGUUCGGAAAGGAUGUUGAUCAAUCUUCAUCGGCUUCUGGGUCUUGGAACUAUCAAAUUUGAUUCUUCCAGACUCUAUAGCCGAUUGCAGCUGUUGUCUGAAAACCUUGCACUCAUUGGUGUCGUGAGAAGUUGCAUUGUGCCACUUGCAAUAUUUCAUCCUCUUUAACUCCUCAGCCGAUGGGAUCACGUGAUUAGGAGACAGCUUGAUCUGACCUUCCUGAAGUAGAAAGUCAAAUAUCGUAUCGGCCUUAGCGGUGUCAAACGCGAACUUCUCUGGUUCUUUAUGUCCAAAAGGACAAGACAUCGGCUUCUUAUUUUUUACCCACUCUGCCAAGCCGAUGACUGGUUCCUCAUCAGAGUCUGAGCUUGUUGCUUCAUCAACGAACGAUACCUUUUUGUUCCAUGCUCUCUUGGGCUCAAAAAGCUUGAUAUCUUGAUCGGAAAUUCUCUGCACCAAAUGACUUAAGCUUUCAAAUUCCUGAGAGGCGUACUUGUCCCUGAUGUGUGGCAACAAACCCUGAAAAGCCAAGUCGGCUAGCUGCCGAUCAUCCAGAACCAGACUAUAGCACUUGUUCUUGACCUCUCGUAUCCUCUGCACAAAACCUUCAACCGAUUCAUCAUUGCGCUGCCUUAAUUUGACCAAAUCGGUGGUCUUCUUCUCAUGAACCCCAGAAAAGAAGUAUUUGUGGAAUUGUUUCUCCAGAUCGGCCCAAGUAAUCACUGAGUUGGGAGGUAGCGAUAUAAACCAAGUAAAGCCCAAUCCAGACAAUGAUGAUGAGAAUAGACGAACUCUUAACUCGUCCCUGUUACCAGCUUCACCGCAUUGAAUAAUGAACCUGUUGACAUGCUCCAUGGUUGACGUGUCAUCCUGCCCAGAAAACUUGGUAAAAUCCAGUAUCUUGUACCGAUGUGGAAGCGGGAUCAAAUCAUAUGCGGGAGGAUACGGUGUCCGAUAAGAGUAAGUGUUGACUUUGGGUUUUAUCCCGAAUUGGUCUCUCAUUACUUCAGCAAUCUUAUCGGCCCAAUAGGCAUCGGCAUCUUGCCGAUGAGGUGGUUGCGGAUCUGGCACCUGCUGGUAAGCUUCCACGUGUCGGUGUGGUGCACGAUCUGCAUGAAACAUCGGGUUAAUCAUCUGACCCCCAAUCUGUGGACCACCAAGCUGUUGCGCGCCAAUCUGUUGUCCGCCGACCUGCUGCCCAAGAUUCAUUGGCUGGUUGGGAAUCCCCUGAUUCUAGAAUCCAGGAUAGAUCUGGCCUUGUUGGAACCCUGUAGCCUGAUGAUUCUGUUGGGGUGUUUGUGGAAAGACUUGCUGCCCAAGCCAUCCAUUAUUAGUGUUCAUCGGCAUAGGCCCUGCCUAUGACUGGUAAUUGGGCAUGAUCAUUGAACUGACAUACCCUGGCUGAGUCAUAAACCUCUGUUGCAUCAGCAUUGAAUCUGCCGAUGCGUUAGGCAUUUGGAACGUUGGAGCUUGAGAGUUCCCAGUGUAAGGUCUUGCAGUAGUAGUUGUAGUAUACCGAGGACUUUGAUUCAUCGGCAUGUUGGGAGGUGCCGAUGCCAUAGGAGUCUUGCCUCUCAUGUCUGUUGUCUGCGACGUACCCGGCGUUAACUCUGGAGGCAUACCAUAACCCCACCAGUUAGGAGGAGGAGUCAAUCCUGACAUUGCUGAUGCCAACAGAUCUGUAGCGAGUUUAAUCAGCCCAUCUGAAGUCUGUGGAUUAGUCAUCAUCGGCGUACAUUGUGUGUUGGUGACCCCUAACAUACUUGGAGGAACGGUAGUUUGUGCACUUGCAGCGGCUGUAGAAGCCGAUGGAGCUGUGACCACCGGUGACCCCGGCUGGUGAUAAGAGGGGCCCACAUAAUCUGGUGGCAAUUGUCCUUCCUUGAAAGUUCUUGCCACGGCAUUGAAAACCGUACACCAGCUUGGUUGAUCAAAGCACGGUUGAUAGCACUAUCAACCAUCUCUUGAAGUUUACCAGGAUUCGCUUCAAAAGUAACCUGCCGUGGUGUUGGCAGUGCAUCCUUCUGGAUUACCUCACCACUCCUGUUCAUGCUGAAGGACCUCAAACAUUGCUGCUUGUAAUCCUCCAUGGCUUUGGCAAUAGCUUGCUUCUGCUCAUCCUUGAGAUUGGCUUCCGUCACGGGGAUGACGUUCUCCUGAUCGAACUCAGAGGUCGACAUGUUGAUCUUGGUCUUGAAUCGGUCCCACUGGGCGUGCCAAAAGAUGUGUUGGUGCAAAAGCUGAUCUGCAAACACAAAGGGCUAAUACCCGAUUCAAACGUUAAGGCGUGCCAGCCGAUUUGACCUUACUAUCGGCAAAGGUGGUAACUCAAACACUUUGGUCCCGACAACAGCGAUGCGCCUGGAUGUCACGGCCAAGAGGUAUUCACGCAGAACUUGAGAACACGCCGAGCUUAAGUCGACGAAUUCCUAAGAACUCGUAAUGAAAAGGAAAAAGUAUGACGAAGUCGUCGAAAGUAGAUGCUGGAAUAUGAGUAAAAACUUGUGUUUGAUUGAUUGAUAGAUGUCUCAUUACAAGGCCCUAGGGUUUAUAUUUAUAUCCUGCUCAAAGAGCUACAACCAGACACGACUAGAACUCGAAUUCCAAAUUACACAGAAUCCGUAUACAAAACGAUUUAAAUAACUAAGGAAAACAUAAAACUAUCCCCCCGUGACAAACUGGAACACCUCCACAAGCCGAUCGGCAGCUUCCAGACUCUCCCUCCAUAUCAUCGGCAAACUCCCUCGUCAUAGUCAUCGGCGGACUUCCUUGUCGUAGCCAUCGGCACAGACACAUCACCACCUAUGGACUUAGUCAUGUUCAACCCCUCCUCCAUCGGCAACCAUCCUCAUCGGCAACUCAUCCUGUAGAGUAAACACCGCCAUCUUAUCUUGCCGGCCUAUACUUUACCAAACAUGUACACGUGCCCAUAAAUGGCGUCAACAUCUGUCAAGAGGAUUCUUGGUAAUUCUCUAAUUGUUCUUCUAAUUGUUCAUCUUUGUUCUUCAAUAUUAUGAAUAUGACUUUGUUCUACUUCAAUAUAUUGCUUAUGUCUUUGCUCUACUUGUUUAUAUUCGCAAUUAUAUUGUUCUUAGUUUAUCAUAGUUAUAUACUUGGCUUAGUUACAUUGAAAUUAUAUACAUGUUUAGGAUCGUAUAGCGUUUAUCCAUCGGAUCCAUGGGUAAGUGAUAGAUAUUGUGUAUGCGUGGUGCUUAUACCGUAUUUAUCUACGACUGUACCCUAUAUGCCAGAUCGCGGAGUAGUUCGUGAUAGUGACAGCUUCAUUGAUUCUUAUAUAGUCCCCCUCUUGUGUAUAGGGCUGGCAGAGCAACAUUAUUACAGGGGAGUGAUUGCUAUGUUUCUCAUUUACCUUGAUAAUAUCACUAUGCAUGGGCGUAAUCUUGUCUCACAAUGAUUGCUAAGUAUAAUUGCACUAACUAUGAUAUGCUAGACUGUAUAGUUAAGAAUAACUUAGGAAAUAUUCUUGUAGUUCAUCCUAAUUCCAUGCUAAUGAUUUGCUAGAAUAUCUAAUUGAGGUGCUUAUCAUAUUUAUAUGUGGCUAAGUUAUGCUGAUCAUAUUAAUUAUCUUUGUCACUAUUCAUCACUUUAUAUAUCCUUUAUGUGACACUUAUCCCUGUAUUUAAGAGUUAGAUAAACGUUAUAAUGGUUCUGUCCAAGCGUGCCAUAUGUCUAGUGUGUGGAGGUGACUGUUGACACAUCUUGGCGCAAUCACCAAAGAUAGACAAAAAGCCUAGUCCCCGGCAAUGGCACUAGAAAAUUUGUUGGGUAUUUUAAACACACAAAGAAAAAUCCAGAAGCACACGGAUACCGAUGUAACUUUCAUUCCAUGGGGAACAUAAAGUGUACUAGAGAAUCAAGGGCGUUCAAGGAUAAAGAAAAGAGAAGAAAUAUAUAUUUUUGGUGGGUGGAGAGGAACCUUCUAAAGUUUUCUAAGUUGAGUGUGUGAUCAAAAUUAGGCUUACUACACUGUACUUUCUAUGGAGCAACAAUAUCUUUCUAACUCUUGAAAGAGACUAGGAAGAAAAUAGUCGAGGGAAGGCUGCCAAAAAGCUCUACGAAACACCAACCCGAACAUGGUGGAAUACAAAGGCCUGAUAGAUCUGUCAUCUGUCGGGCUCCCACAACUAACCGUGGGAUUGGGCGCAAACUCAAGUAAACCCUAGUCUAGACACCAUGUCUACACUAGCAUUUACUACUCUAAUUACCUUGAGAAUAACUAGAGCACUCAAUACGAGCGGAGAUCUAGUAAAUAUAAUAAAGCAAUAAUUAAAUAAAAAACUGAACUUAGAAAUAAUAAUUAAAGAACCUGGAGAUUGCUGAGUGACGAACCAGAUGCUGCAAAAGUAUAAUAUUGAGGAAGAUCUGACAGAUCUGGCUCCUCCUUAGCUCUAUCCUCCUCUCCCUUUACAACUUGAUGAACUAGACGAAGAACAAGAAUAACUAGAUGAACUAGAUCUAGAACUAGAUCUAGAACUAGAUGAAAUAGACUACAACUAGAUGAACUAGAAGAGAUUCAUCUAGAGGGACCUCUACUUCUACUUAGAUGGAGAGUUGAAACCCUAGCUUUUGCUCUGUAGAAGAGAUAUGGUGGAAACCCUAGGUGGCCUGGACAUAUAGUCCUCUAGGAAGCACCACAACCCUUGGAUCAAACUGACCUAAAUAGGUGGUCAAGAUUACUCCUCAAGGUAGGUGGAGGCAGGAUCCGCGAGACUCCCCCUAAUUGGUCCUGUUGACACUGUUUUUUGACACGUAUCCAGACAGAUAGUGGAGCCUAGAUCGGUAGGUGAAAAAGUGAUGUCUAGUUGACAGAGGAGUUACCGAUGGGUUAUGAUGCCGAUGAUAGAGCAGCAGAAUAUGACCAAGUUCAGGUAUAAUGAUUGGUCUAUGCCGAUGGCUGAUGUUAAUAGUUGCCGAUGCCGAUGGAAGAUGAUGUGCCGAUGAUAGUGAAGGAGGGUGUAGGAAUCGUCAAAGGAAAUGGUGGUAGCAUGCCGAUUGCCUAGGAUAGAUAAAUUAAUGAUUUCCAUAGUUAUUAGAGUUUGUUUUGUAUACGGAUUCUGUUUGGUUUGGAAAUAGAGUUCUAAGUCGUACCUGGUUGUAACUCUUUAGGACAGGGUAUAAAUAUAGACCUAGUAGCGAUGUAAGAAGGAUAUAACACAAUCAAUCAAACACAAGUUUUUAUAUCUAUUCCAGCAUCUACUUUUCGACGACUUCGUCAAAUCGCAUAUUUUACUUUUACUUACGAGUUCUUAGGAAUUCAUCGAGUCAAACUCGACGAGUUCUCAAGUUCCGUGUGAAUACCUCUUGGCUGUGGCAUCCGGGUGCAUUGCUCUUGUCGGGACCAAAGUAUUCGAGUUAUCACCUUUGUCUAUUGUAAGGUCUAAUCGGCUAGCACGCCUUAACAUUGAAUCGGGUAUUAGCCCUUUGUGUUUGCAGAUCUACUUUUACAUCAACACAUCUUUUGGCAUGCCUAGUGGGACAAAUUCAGAAUCAUCAUCAAGAUCAACAUGUCGAAUGCUGAUUUCAAUACAGAGAACAUCAUUGCCGUAACUGAAGCCAACCUCAGAGAUGAGCAGAAGCAAGCUAUGGAAAAAGCUAUGGAGGAGUACAAGCAGCUAUGUUUGAAGUCCUUCAGUGUCAACAGGAGUAGCGAGGUGAUCCAAAAGGAAGCAUUGCCGAUGCCUCGGCAAAUCACUUUUGAAGCCAAUCCUAGUAAAUUGCAAGAGAUGGUUGACAGUGCUAUCAAUCGUGCUUUGAUUAAUCAAUCCAGUGUGCAAUCCAAUACAAUUUUCAAUGCUGUAGCUAGAACUUUCAAAGAAGGAUAGGUGCCACCAUCAUAUGUGGGCCCUGCUUAUCAUCAUACAGGAUCAUCAUCGGUCACCGCUCCAUCGGCCCCUCUGGCCGUUGCGAGUACAGAAGUUACCUCUCCUCCAAUUACAUUAGGGAUGACUAAUGGACAAUCUACACCAAUGAGGACUAAUCUAGCAAUAUGAGAGGGGUAAGUUCAACUUGCUAUAGAUCUAUUGGCAUUGGCAAUGUCAGGAUCUGUAUUCUAGAAUUGUCAAGUUCCUCCCAACUGGUGGGGAUAUGGUAUGCCUCCAGACUUUUUAGCAAAUAGUUCUGGAACAUCUCAAGUGGCUGACACGACAGGCAAGGCUCCUAUGACAUCGGCACCUCCGGUAUCACUGAUGACUCAGAAUCCUCAAUAUUCUACAACCACUACUGCGAGGCCUCUUACUGGAAACUUUCAGAUGCUAGCAUUCCAGAUGCCUAACGCAUCGGCGGAUCCACUGCCUACGCACCAGAGGUUUAUGACUCAGACAGGGUAUAUCAGCCCAAUGAUGACACCCAACUAUCAGCCAUCGGCAGGGCCUAUGCCGAUGAAUGUUAAUAAUGGAUGGACAGGGCAAUUUGUCUUCCCAUAGAUAGCUCAGCAGAAUCAUGAGGCUGUGGGAUUAUAGCAGGGACAGAUGCAGCCUGGAUUUCAGAAUCAAGGGUCGGUCAAUCAGCCGAUGAAUCUUGCUCAGCAGUUUGGUGGCCAACAGGCUCUGGCUAAUGCUAUGUUCCCUGGAGAUCGUGUACCUCAGAGACACGUGGAAGCUCAUCAGCAGAUGCCAGAUCCACAACCCGCACAUCGGCAGGAUGCCGAUGCUUAUUGGGCCGAUAAGAUAGCCGAAGUUAUGAGAGACCAAUUCGGGAUAAAACCGAAGGUCAAUACUUACUCUUAUCGGACACCAUAUCCUACUGCAUAUGAUUUGAUUCCACUACCAAAUCGGUACAAAGUGCCAGAUUUCACUAAAUUAUCUGGACAAGACGACACGUCGACUAUGGAACAUGUCAAUCGGUUCAUCAUCCAGUGUGGGGAAGCUGCUAACAGAGACGAAUUGAGAGUUUGAUUGUUUUCAUCAUCUCUCUCGGGAUCGGCAUUUAACUGGUUUAUUUCGUUACCUCCAAAUUCGGUAAUCACUUGGGCCGAUCUAGAGAAGCAGUUCCACAAGUAUUUCUUUUCUGGAGUUCAUGAGAAGAAACUUACAUUUAGUAAGGCUGAGGCAACGCAAUGAUGAAUCGGUUGAAAGUUUUGUGCAAAGGUUGCGGGAUGUUAAGAAUAAAUGCUAUAGUUUGGUUCUGGAUGAUCGGCAACUAGCCAAUUUAGCUUUCCAAGGAUUGUUGCCACACAUCAAGGACAAAUAUGCUUCCUAAGAGUUUGAAAGUCUGAGUCACUUUGUGCAUAGGAUUUCUGAUCAAGAUGUCAAUGCUUUUGAGCCUAGGAAAGCUUGGAACAAAAAAGUGACAUUUGUUCAUGAGGCAACAAGUUCAGAUUCGGAUUGAGAACCAGUCUUCGGCUUGGCAGAAUGGGUGAAGAAUAAAAAGUCGAUGUCUUGUCCUUUCGGCCAUAAAGAGCCAAAGAAGUUUGCGUUUGACAUCACAAAAGCUGAUAGGAUAUUUGACUUUUUGCUUCAGGAGGGGCAAAUCAAAUUGUCACCCAACCAUGUGAUUCCAUCGGCAGAAGAGUUAAAGAAGAUCAAAUAUUGCAAGUGGCACAACGCAACGUCUCAUAAUAUAAAUGAAUGUGUUGACACCGUUUUUGACACGUGUCUUUGGAUACGCGCCUGGGGUUAAUAAAGUGUAGAUCGGCAGGUGAGGAAAUGAUGACUACAGGAGAAUUGCCGAUGAAGGUUGGUGCCGAUGGAAAAACGACCGAAUAUGACCAAGUCCAAGAGUGGUGGUGCACUCGUGCCGAUGACCAGCGCUGAUGGUUGUCGAUGGCUGUGAAGGGCGAUCUGCCAAUGCUGAUGAAGGAAAGCGCAGGGGUUGCCGAUUGACUCGCGAUGGUGUGCCGAUCGGUGGUGGAGGAUAAUUUAAUGUUUUCCUUAGUUAUUAGAGUUCGUUUUGUAUGCGGAUUCCGUUUAAUUUGGAAUUUGAGUUAUAGUCGUAUCUGGUUGUAGUUCUUCUAAAUAGGGUAUAAAUGUAGACCCCGUGGCAAUGUAAUGAGACAUCUAUCAAUCAAUCAAACACAAGUUUUUAUACAUAUUCUAGCAUCUACUUUUUCGAUGACUUCGUCAUAUUUCCUUUUUACUACCAGUUCUUAGGAAUUUGUCGAGUCAAACUUGGCGCGUUCUCAAGUUCCGUGUGAGCACCUCUUGGCCGUGACAUCCGGGUGCAUCGCUGUUGUUGGGACCAAAGUGUUCGAGUUACCACCUUUGUCGAUUAUAAGGUCAAAUCGGCUGGCACGCCUUAACGUUUGAAUCAGGUAUUAGCCCUUUGUGUUUGCAGAUCAGCUUUUGCACCAACACAUCUUUUGGCACGCCUGGUGGGACAGAGAUUCAAGAUCAAGAUCAACAUGUCGAAUACCGAUUUCGACUUGGAGAACAUCAUCCCCGUGACGGAAGCCAAUCUCAGAGAUGAGCAGAAGCAAGCUAUGGCGAAAGCCAUGGAGGACUACAAGCAGCUAUGCUUGAAAUCCUUCAGCAUCAACAAGAGUGGCGAGGUGAUCCAAAAGGAAGCAUUGCCGGCACCUCGGCAAAUAACUUUUGAAGCCAAUCCUGGUAAAUUGCAAGAGAUGGUUGAUAGUGUUGUCAACCGUGCUCUGAUCAAUCAAUCUGGUGUAUUGUCCAAUACAGUUUACAAUGCUGUGGCUAGAACUUUCAAAGAAGGACAAGUACCGCCAUCUUAUGUGGGUCCUGCCUAUCAUCAGCCGGGGUCAUCGGUGGUUACUGCUCCAUCGGCUACUACGACCAUUGUGGGUGCAGAAGUUACUUCCCCUCCAAGCACAUUGGGGAUGACCAAUGCACCAUCCACACCGAUGGCGACUAAUCCGUCAGCAUCAGAAGGACAAAUCAAACUGGCUACAGAUCUAUUGGCAUCGACAAUGUCAGGGUCUGUUCCUCCCAACUGGUGGGGUUAUGGUAUGCCCCCAGAGUUGAUGGCAAAAGGUCUUGGGACAUCUUAAGUGGCUGACGUGACAGGCAAGGCUCCUAUGGCAUCGGCACCCCAAGCUCGCCGAUGACCCAGAAUCCCUAGUAUUCUACAACUACUAAUGCAAGACCUUUGACUGGGAAUUCUCAAGCACCAACGUUCCAGAUGCCUAAUGCAUCGGCAGAUCCAAUGCCGACGCAACAAAGGUUUAUGACACAGCCAGGGUAUGUCAAUUCAAUGAUGAUGCCCAAUUACCAGUCAUCGGCAGGACCUACGCUGAUUAAUGUUAAUAAUGGAUGGACAGGUCGGUUUGUUUUUCCACAAAUGCCUCAACAGAAUCAUCAGGCUGUAAGGUUUCAACAAGGACCAGUCCAACCUGGGUUUUAGAAUUAAGGGUUGAUCAACCAGCCGAUGAAUCAUGGCCAGCAAUUUGGUGGUCAGCAGGCGAUGGCUAAUCCAAUGUUCCAUGGAGAUCGUGCACCUCAGAGACACGUGGAAGCUUAUCAGCAGGUGCCAGAUCCACAACCACCUCAUCGGUAGGAUGCCGAUGCUUAUUGGGCCGAUAAGAUAGCUGAGGUGAUGAGAGACCAAUUUGGGAUAAAACCCAAGGUCAAUACUUACUCUUAUCGGACACCGUAUCCUCCUGCGUAUGACUUGAUUCCACUUCCAAAUCGGUACAAGGUGCCAGAUUUCACCAAGUUUUUUGGGUAGUAUGAUACAUCAACCAUGGAGCAUGUUAACAGGUUCAUCAUCCAGUGUGGAGAAGCUGCUAACAGAGAUGAGUUAAGGGUUCGCUUGUUCUCAUCAUCUUUGUCUGGAUCGGCCUUUACUUGGUUUAUUUCAUUACCUCCUAAUUCAGUGAUUACCUGGGCCGAUCUGGAGAAACAAUUCCAUAAAUACUUAUUUUCUAGAGUUUAUGAGAAGAAGAUUACCGAUUUAGUAAGGCUACAGCAACGCAAUGAUGAAUCGGUUGAAAGUUUUGUGCAAAGGUUGCGAGAGGUUAAAAAUAAGUGCUAUAGUCUGGUUGUGGACGAUCAGCAGCUAGCUGAUUUGGCUUUCUAGGGGUUAUUGCCACAUAUUAGAGACAAGUAUGCUUCUCAAGAGUUUGAGAGUCUAAGUCAUUUGGUGUAGAGGAUCUCUAACCAAGAUAUUAAACCUUUGGAACCCAAGAGGGCAUGGAAUAAAAAGGUGUCAUUUGUCGAUGAGGAAGCAAGCUCAGAUUCUGAUGAAGAACCAGUCAUCGGCUUGGCAGAAUGGGUGAAGAAUAAGAAGCCGAUGUCUUGCCCUUUUGGGCACAAAGAACCAGAAAAGUUUGCAUUUGAUAUCACCAAAGCUGAUAGGAUAUUUGACUUUCUACUUCAAGAAGGGCAAAUUAAGUUGUCACCUAAUCAUGUGAUUCCAUCGACAGAGGAAUUGAAGAAGAUGAAAUACUGCAAGUGGCAUAAUGCAACAUCUCACAGCACAAAUGAGUGCAAGGUUUUUAGGCAACAGCUGCAAUCGGCUAUAGAAUCUGGGAGAAUUAAAUCUGACAGUUCCAAAGCUCAGAAACCGAUGAAGAUCGAUCAGCAUCCUUUCCCUACAAAUAUGUUGGUGUUGACGGUCCUUAAGUAUCAAAUUUAAUUAUCAAAUAAACAAAGAAAAGGAUCCAAAUGAAAUCAACAUCCAGACUUAGGGUUUUAUGUGACAGAAUUCCCCGAGUUUUGGUGUUUGUCUAUUUCUGUAGGGGGUUAUCAGGAAAUACGGAAGAAAGGCCCACACGUCGGGAUUACAUAGAGAUAUUAACGUACCGUACAAUUAUCUUACAUCUAGAAGACUCCAGAAGCCACGGGAACGAAGCAGAAGCAGAACGGGGCCUGGCCCAGGGCGCCCGCCCUGGAGAACAGGGCGCCCGCCACCUGCUGGAGUCCAAUCUGGACUCUCUUUCGGGAUUACGCUCCACCGACCUAAAGGAUGAAGUAUAACCGUUCAAUCAAUGUCGGUUUGAUCCGACGGCCCAUAUCCACUUGGAGGGACUAUAAAACCAGACCCCCUGGCCCCUGGAGGACAGGACCUCUCGACCCUAAUUCAUUAUUCAUCAAGGGAGAAGAAGCCUCUGAUCAAUCCUAGAGCCACCACAUCAAUUAGACAUCUAGAUUAGCAUAGCUACAUAGGAUUAGAACUAGAAGGAGUCAAUCUUCGAUUGGUUUCCAGAUCUAUCAAGAGGAUUCUUGGUAAUUCUCUAUUGUUCUUCAAUUGUUCAUCUUUGUUCUUCAAUAUUAUGAAUAUGACUUUGUUCUACUUCAAUAUAUUGAUUAUGACUUUGCUCUACUUGUCUAUAUUCGUAAUUAUAUUGUUCUUUAUUUAUCAUAGUUAUAUACUUGGCUUAGUUAGAUUGGAAUUAUAUACAUGUUUAGGAUCGUAUAGCGUUUAUCCAUCGGAUCCAUUGGUAAAUGAUAGAUACUGUGUAGGCAUGGUGCUUAUACCGUAUUUAUUUGCGAUUGUACCCUAUAUGCCUGAUCGCGGGGUAGUUCGUGAUAGUGACAGCUUCAUUGAUUCUUAUAUAGUCCCCCUCUCGUGUAUAGGGCUGGCAGAGCAACAUUAUUAUAGGGGAGUGAUUGCUAUGUUUCUCAUUUACCUUGAUAAUAUCACUAUGCAUGGGCGUAAUCUUGUCUCACAAUGAUUGCUAAGUAUAAUUGCACUAACUAUGAUAUGCUAGACUGUAUAGUUAAGAAUAGCUUAGGAAAUAUUCUUGUAGUUCAUCCUAAUUCCAUGCUAAUGACUUGCUAGAAUAUCUAAUUGAGGUGCUUAUCAUAUUUAUUUUGUGGCUAAGUUAUGCUGAUCAGAUUAAUUAUCUUUGUCACCAUUCAUUACUUUAUAUAUCUUUUAUGUGACACUUAUCCCUGUAUGAAAGAGUUAGAUAAAUGUUCUCAAUUAUACAUGCAAUGAUAGAUACUCAAUCUUAUAUUCCAUUCUAUAAUCAACAUUGAUGAUUACUAAUCCCUUCCCAGUGGUAAAAAUAUAAAUAACGAUACCUAGAAUACUUCUCGGUUAAAAUGCUACAUCGGUAUUAAUCUAUGUGCUUGCAGAUCCCAUUUGAUUAUUUAUUUAGAUGAGCAAUUGCAUAUUUCAAUACCACGUCUCUCAUGUCAUGCUGGGGAUGACAACUUGGCUUAAGUGGCAUGAGGGAUAGGUUUGGCAUUUUUGGCGCCGUUAUCAGAAAUAGAAAACUAAGUCUACUUUUGGUAAUGACGUUAAGAAUGCCCAACAAGCAUUUUUGGCGCCGUUGCCGGGGAAGGUUUAUUAGUAAUCUAGAAUGAAUAUAGAAUUUCGAUUUAUCAUUCGCAUCACUAAUAUGAUUGAGCUUAUCAAUUCUCUCAUACAGUUUUACCCCGAUAUUUUCCUAUUUUAUCUUAUGCAGGGUAAUGUAUGAAUAGAAGACAUCUUCCAGGAAAUUUUGUUGACAAUCCCGAAGCGUUAUUCAGAAAAACAAGAGCCAAGGUAAAGAAGAGAUCAUCAACACAUUAGCAAGAAGCUUCAUCCAAUCAAGAAGAUCACCGGAACUUGUCUUCAGAGUUCGGAGUCAUGGCGAACAAAUCGAUCCGUGAGUUCUCAGCUCCCACUACGGACAACAUCCGCACUGGACCUGUUGCAGAGAUCGAUGGCAACUUUAAGCUCAAGCCUAGACUUAUCAACAUGGUGCAAUAUAACUAGUUCUGUGGGAAGGCACACGAAGAUGCUAGUGCUCAUCUCCAACACUUCCUGGAGAUAUGCAGCACAUUUACCAUAUGAGGAGUCCCCAGAGAUGCUAUACUACUUCGCCUCUUCCCAUUCUCACUGUUGGGGAGAGCGAAGCAGUGGUUCUACGCUACAAAGGAGAAGAAUACUACGUGGGCACUCUGCUCCAUGAACUUUCUGGCUAAGUUCUUUCCCAUGGGCAAGACCAAUGCUCUCCGUGGGAAGAUUACAAGUUUUCAGCAACAACAUGAUGAAUCCGUUCCAGAAGCAUGGGAGUGCUUCUAAGACUACAUCCUAGAAUGUCCCCAUCAUGGAAUGGAGAGUUGGCUACUGAUGCAGACGUUUUAUCAUGGGCUCGGCAACAGUACCCGAGAAACCAUGGACGCUGCAGCUGGAAGAGCAUUCCUAUCACUUACCAUACCACAAGCCACAGCUCUUGUGGAGAAGAUGGCAUCCAACCAAGGCUGGAAUGAAGAGGGGACCCAGACACGCAAGAGAGGUGGAGGUAUGCAUCAGCUCAAGGAGGUAGACAUGUUGUCUGCAAAGCUAGACCUGCUCAUGAAGAAGCUCAAUGAUAGAGCUGGAGAUAAGAAAGAAGUUAUGCACAUCUACGACUCUCACAUGACUUAUGAGGAGUGUGGAGAUACUGGACACUCAGGCAAUCACUGCCUUCAGAUGCUUGAGGAUGUGAACUACAUCAACAACUACUACUACUACUACAACCGUCCACAACAAAAUCAAGGUUGGAAUCAACAAAGGCCUAACUACUCAGUUAAUUAUCAAGGUAACAAUUCUUACAACAAUAAUAAUAAUUUUCCACCUCUGAGAGAGUUAGUGUCUAAUCAAGGAAAGCUAAUGGAUCACUGUUGACGGUCCUUAAUGCUUACAUUUAACCAUCAACUAAUCAUAGAAAAGGAUCCAAAUGCAACCAACACCUAGACUUAGGGUUUUAUCUGACAGAAUUCCACGAGUUUUGGUGUUUGUCUAUUUCUGCAGGGGGUUAUCAGGAAAUACGAAAGAAAGGCCCACACGUCGGGUUUACAUAGAGAUAUUAACAUACCACAUAAUUUUCUACCAUCUAGAAGACUCCAGAAGCCACGAGAACGAACGGGAGGCCGAUUGGGCUCGGAGGCAGGGCGCCCGCCCAACUCUCCUGGGCGCCCGCCCAGCUACAGUGUCCAAUUCGGACCCGUUUCGCGUAUUAUGCUCCACCGACCUAAAGGAUCAAGGAAAACCGUGCGAUCAAUGUCGGUUUGAUCCGACGGCCCAGAUUCACUUGAAGGGACUAUAAAACCAGACCCCCCUGGCCCCUGGAGAUCAUACCUCUUCUACAGAAUCAAAGUUAGGGUUUCAAUUCUUCAUCCAAGUAGAGAGGAUCCCUCUAGUUCUUCUAGUUCUACCUCUAGUUCAUCUAGAUCUAGUUCUAGUUCUAGUUCCUCUAGUUCUAGUUCUAGUUAGUUCUAGUUGUAAUCUAGAAAAUAGGGACAGAGAAGAGGAGAGCGGAGGAGGAGCCGGAUCUGUCGGAUCUUCCUCAACAUUGUAUUUUUGCAGCAUCUGGUUCGUUCUUCCUCGUUCUCCAGGUUCUUCAACUCAUAACUCCUGAGUUCUCUAAUUACUUUUAUUUACAUUCAAGUUAUUUAUUGGAUUCCCGCUUGCAUCAAGUGCUCUAGUCUUUGAAACAUUAGAGUAGUAAUCAAUAGAUUAGAUGUGGUGUUUAGUCUUGCGAUUACCUGGAAUUGCACCCAAUCCUGCGGAUUGUUGUGGUAGCCUUAGGGUAGUGACAGCCCUAACGGUCGACGUAUUCCACCACGUUCGGAUCGGUGUUUGUAGGACCGUAGUCAGACCUUCCUAGCCCCCUUCUCAUCUCUUUCUGUGGUUAGUGCUCUGAUGUCCCGAUAUAAAUAAUCUUGAAGUAAUUCUUGAUUCUUAGAUCAACUAGAGAACUCUCAGGAAACUUCCUUUCUUCCCACCAAAAACAAUUAUAUAGUUAUCCUUGGGCGAUCUUGGGUCUUAAUUAGUACACUCACGUUCUCUGUGGAAAAUCGAUACUCUGGAAUACUCCCGGGUGAAGGCUACAUCGGUAUCCGUGCGCUUGCGGAUUUUUCUGUUUGCGUUUAAAAUACCCAACAAGCUUUCUGGCGCCGUUGCCGGGGAACGGUAGCUGUGCUAGUUUCGAACCAAGUCGUCUGUGUAUCCUUUUUCUUUUCCUUUUUUACCACACUCACCUUAUCAUUUUCACCACACCACAUGGAUUUCACUCUAAGCAUUAAUGAGCAUGGAAUUUAUUUCAUAGCCACUUCAUUUACUCCAUGCUCAUAUGCAACAUCUUCACAAUCCAUUGGUCUCUCCAAUAUCACCACAUUCGAGAUCUCCAACCCCCUCUUCCUUUCUAUUUAUAAAAACUUUAAAAGGGCGGUUGUCGAUGCAUAUGUCUAUAAUAAAUUUUGCAGAUCUCGUUGAGUUGAUCUUGAUAUAGGUCAGCGUUGGAGGGGAAACCACUUCGCCGACAUAAAUUGAUGGUUUCCCAAGGACAAGCUUAGUGUCCUAAAACAAGCACUGAUCAGAUCGUAACAUGAGCUUUUAAUUAUUUGCAACAUUACCUUGUGUAUUGAGCAUAUAAGGAUAAUUGUAAAAAAAAUUCCUUCGGGUAUUCUUGUCACUAACCUUUCCAGGAUUGGAGCAAGAAGAUCGGAUGAAUGACAAGCACAAGGUAUGUCCAACCAAUCAUCAUACAACAUUGAAUUAAAUUCAUCCAAACUUGAAUUUUGCAAAAUUCAAGCUUGGGGGAGUACUUUACAUUAAAAACAUCCUUUGCCAUGUUGCUAUGUUGGUUGUUCCUACCUUUGAGACAUGCUCAAUUUGUUAAAUACUAAUCACACUACUUCAUCUCCACUUGAGUAGAUCUCUAUAAAUGCUCUCAUGCUACCUUUAUUUGCUUUAGUAUAUGUCUAGGUUGGAGUAGUUUCAUUUAUCUCUUAAUUAAGCAUGGUGCUUAGUUUAUGAAUGAUGAUCUUACUUCCAAAGGAUUUUAAUUUAAGCAUGAUGCUUAGGUUAAAAUUCCCUCCUAAAUCAAAUUAGACAUGGUGUCUAGGUUGAUCUUUGAGCCGAUAGUACGCUAUAGUAGAUAUUGGAUAUUUUGUUGGACUAACCCCUGCAGGAAAACUUUCAAUAUCAACCUGGGAGGUCCUGAGUCAAACUCACAUUGGAGACAAAGAGAGACACACAUGAAGUUUAACAAUUUACACAAGGAAGGCAUAGCUCACAAGAGAUGAUCCAUGGAGGGUGCCAAAAACACGAUGCACAACCGCUAAGAGAGGAAAGCUUCCAAAAGGUGAUACUGUACCAUCACUCUUCAAGUAAGGUAACAUCUUAAAGUACUUGACUAUCACUUUUAUAAGCUUCUCCUUGGUUCUAGCGUUCACAUGAGUAAAAGAGACAAACAUGUAUGAUUUACAACUCUAGAUUAACCAACCCAAUCGAUUCAAUAUGUUUAGUCCUUCUACCUUUGUGAUCCCACACUCCUAAUCAUAUGAACUAAAAAUGUUACACACCCAAUCUUUGGAAGAUAUAUAUUAUAUAAAAAGCAACAUAACUAUAGAUAGAUUAUCUUUCCAUUAGGUUGAGUGAUCUGAUCUGACAAAUGUUUUAAACGCUACACUCAUGAUCUUAUUAUCCAUCAACUGUGUCUUGCUCACUAUGCUUAAGGAUAGAGAAGAGCAAAUACACUUUUGGUUCUGUUGGUGUUUUCCACCAACAGGGCCCAUGCACUUGAUCUCCGCCUUGUCUCAAUGAGCAGGAACACUUUGAGCAAAAUGUGAAGGACUUUUACAACUCCCAGACUCCACCAAGUGAAGUACCUAGAUCUACGAGCACAAACACACUGGAGAUACUGGACACUCAGGCAAUCACUGCCCUGAGAUGCUUGAGGACAUAACUACUGGAGUAACCCUGUUGUGGAAGUAAUUACUGACCUUCUGCCAGUCAAGAGAUACAAUCCAGGACAUCCCGUCAUCCCGAUCUCCAUCGGCAUGGUGGACUUCCUAGAAGCACUCUGCAACUUUGGCUCCAGCGUCAACAUUAUGCUCCGGGUACUCUAUGAAAAAUUCUUUACACAUCCUUUCCUAGAAACAACCAUGUGUUUGCAGCUUGCAGAUCAGACACUAAGUUUCCCAAAGGGAAUAUUGAAGAACCUCUACGUCUGAGUUGGUACAUUGUACGCCCCAGCAAACUUCGUGGUGAUAGAGACUGGUACUGAUGAGAGGGCACCCAUCUUAGGGAGGCCAUUCCUGAACACCUCGGGAGCUGUCAUCUACGCUAGUGCUGCCAAGAUCAAUUUCUACAUCAAGGGGAGGAAGGAGAUGUUUUCCUUCAAGAACAAGACACACAAAUCUCAGAGCAAUCCUGACAUGAACCAAGGAAGAGGACCAAUAGGAGGAACAGAAACAAGCAAAUGUGGACCGAGACAGCUAAGAUGGUCACUACAGCUCAAGGAGGUCAAGAUCGUCAACUCAAGUCGCCUUUCUUGAUCAAGAAAGACGACCCUGGUGUUCCAAGCAUCGAGUGCACAAUCAACGGAUAUUCUUUUCAGAAGACACUCUACGACACCGGAUCUGAUGUCAACAUAAUGGCCGCAGUCACUUAUCAGCUCCUGCAUGGAACCAUGCCCCUACAACCAACAUACAUUCAGCUCCGGAUGAUUUUCAGGUUAUUGACAUGGGAGAAGACGAGUACAAUACACCCAUCACCAUUGGGAGAUCGUUCCUCAGCACCGUUAAAGCAAUCAUCUACAUUGGAACCAGAGAAGUCCACAUGAACUUCUCCUCUGAGAAGGUACGCCGCUAUUUUACUGACCCUAACUAUAUAGUUGAAGACUCUAAGCAGGUCAGGACAAGAAGGAGACGACGCAACCGCAACCAGAGAAGGCAAAAUCAUCAAGGACGGAUGGGUAGACUAUGAAGGAGAAGUGGUAAUAUCUGAAGACAUACUGCUUGAACAGAUUUAUCCUGAGGAGACCGUAGGACCGAGUCAGGUGUGGAGAGAGAAGAUAGUUAUACACGAAGAGCAGACACCACCGAAACCACCGACUACGCCAUCCAGCGAAUCCCAGGACGAAUGAGAAAACGGAGAGUCCUGUUCGAAGGACGUAAAAACACCGAACGCCUUGCCAAGAGGUAAACUUGGUAGUUAUCUUUUCUUUUCAAUUAUUUAAAAUAGUUUGCUUAGUUAAUCAGGUUCAUAUCAUCUUGAAAAGAAAAUAAAAAUAUUAAAAAUAGUAAGCCCCAUGUGAGUAUGCUCAUGGCAUAAAAACCCAUAAGUACAUUCACUGUGGUGGCAUAAAAAUAAAAUAAAUAUAUUCCUGUCCGAUAAAAAUGAAAAUAUAAAAAUAGAUUUAUGAUCCUACUAAAGAGAGUAACAUUUACUGAGGAGGCUCAACAUGAUAAAGGCUAGAUAUUUAUGCUAACACUUAACCAGUUCCACAAAGCUUUGUUGUCUAUUUGAGCUCCACAGAAUUCAAGGAUCAAAGAAGACUAGCAGACGGAGGACAUCCUAAUCACUGUCAGGGUGCUGCCGACAUUCAACUACACCUCCGCCACCUCCUAGCUACAUGAGAAGAAAUUACGUCAAAAUCCAGCUUGGGGGAGAGCACCACCAUUUAUCCAGCUAAGUAUUCUACUCACGUUUAUAUUUUACUCAAAUAAUAAAAAGAUGCAUAAUCAUAAAAACCCAAAUAAAGAUUUUGUGCUUAUAUAUAUAUCUUUGCUUAUCUUGCUAAAUAAAUAAAUAAAUAAAGUUUGAUAUGAACCCUCAUGAUAAGCUCUCACAUGGAAAUGAUGAAUAGUUGCUCUGCCAUGAUUAGUUCUAAAAAUUGAAAUCUCUCUUAAGUUUAGGCAUGACUGUUAUUAAUUAAGAUUUGCUCUAAACCUGAACUUGUGGGGAGAGUACUUGAUCUAAAGUCUAAGUCAUUAACGGAUACGAUAUGGGAAGGUUGAGCUGCUGUUUAUCUGUUCCUAGAGAUGCUAGAAUUCUGGAGAAUUUUAUCUUUGAAAAUCUUUAAAAUGUUGCAUGAUGAGUUCCUGUAUGAUGAGAGUUUAAAUUCCUACCACAGCCAUAUAUACAUGCUUGUUAGACUAUGAACCACACAUUUACUUUUUACUGCUUAUGAGCAUUGAGUGUGGUCAAGCUGUGUAGACCCUUAGGAGCUUGUCAUGUGGUUAAAUCAAGAUUCACUUGCACGUUCACUCACACAUGCUAUUUCUACUCCAGAAGUACCAUCCACAUAUAUCCAUCCAUUUCCAUCUCCAGAACCACCCAAAAAUAUUCUACUCCUAAUCCGGGAGAGAAUAGCCAAAAAUAUUCUCCUAUUUAUGUUUUUCCCUGUGUGAAAUAAAUGCUCAAGUUAUCUUGGUUACUACCACUUGCUAUAUUAUCUCAUGAGCUGAGUGCUCUACUAAAAAAAAAGAAAGAAAAAAAAGAAUACGAGGAAAUAAAAAGGGGCAAGUGCCCGGAACCUCGAAAGAAAGAAAAAAAAAGUGAGACGAGAGGUAAAAAUGGGCAAGUGUCCGACAGUAGAAUUAGGAGUACAAGAUACCCACCUGAGAGGAAAGAAAAAGAAAAUAUAGAGCAUCUCAUUCUCCUCAAAAAGUUUCAAAAGUGCAAGAAAGGUAUGUAUCCCCUCAAAAGAGCAUAAGUAGAAUUAGACUUUCACCAUUAUCACCAUCAUCACCAUACACCAUUCAUUCGCCACACAUGCACAUCUUGAUUUGACUUAUUGACUUGUUCUUCUGGAUCCAUGGUUUGACUAUGCAAUAAAUGUCUUGUAAGUAUGUAUUAGCUGUCUCCCACCUAUGAGCUCCAGAUAUCAAAACCUUAUUAGAGUAGGGUGAGAGAGAAGGCAAUGUCACUAUGCCUUAUACCACAAAUACCACAUACUUUGAGAGAAGGCAUACACCAUUACUGCCUUGGUAAGGAUCCAGAAAUACCACAAAAGAGAGACUAGAGAGAGUCAUACAAGGAAUCUUUGAGUUUUAUUUGAAAAUCUGCAAAUACUCUAGAGCUAUAGUUAAUCGAAGAACAAGAGACAUGGUGCUUGACUAGACUGUUCUAUCUUUUAACUACUCAAGACAGAAGUGACGGUUGCAAGCCCCAUGGUGGAAGGUAAUAUGAGUAAGUUUAAAUCUUAACAGUUUACUCUAACCCAGAGAUGAUAUCUUGUUUGAACGCAUGUGUAUCUUUAAGGCAUGAAACCACUGCAGAAACUCUUGAGUUCAUCUUUGCUCAGGGACGAACAAAGGUUAAGCUUGGGGGAGCUUGUUGACGGUCCUUAAUGCUUACAUUUAACCAUCAACUAAUCAUAGAAAAGGAUCCAAAUGCAACCAACACCUAGACUUAGGGUUCUAUCUGACAGAAUUCCAUGAGUUUUGGUGUUUGUCUAUUUCUGCAGGGGGUUAUCAGGAAAUACGAAAGAAAGGCCCACACGUCGGGUUUACAUAGAGAUAUUAACAUACCACACAAUUUUCUACCAUCUAGAAGACUCCAGAAGCCACGGGAACGAACGGGAGGCCGAUCGGGCUCGGAGGCAGGGCGCCCGCCCAACUCUCCUGGGCGCCCGCCCAGCUACAGUGUCCAAUUCGGACCCGUUUCGCGUAUUAUGCUCCACCGACCUAAAGGAUCAAGGAAAACCGUGCGAUCAAUGUCGGUUUGAUCCGACGGCCCAGAUUCACUUGAAGGGACUAUAAAACCAGACCCCCCUGGCCCCUGGAGAUCAUACCUCUUCUACAGAAUCAAAGUUAGGGUUUCAAUUCUUCAUCCAAGUAGAGAGGAUCCCUCUAGUUCUUCUAGUUCUACCUCUAGUUCAUCUAGAUCUAGUUCUAGUUCAUCUAGUUCUAGUUCUAGUUCCUCUAGUUCUAGUUCUAGUUAGUUCUAGUUGUAAUCUAGAAAAUAGGGAGAGAGAAGAGGAGAGCGGAGGAGGAGCCGGAUCUAUCAGAUCUUCCUCAACAUUGUACUUUUGUAGCAUCUGGUUCGUUCUUCAUCGUUCUCCAGGUUCUUCAACUCAUAACUCCUGAGUUCUCUAAUUACUUUUAUUUACAUUCAAGUUAUUUAUUGGAUUCCCGCUUGCAUCAAGUGCUCUAGUCUUUGAAACAUUAGAGUAGUAAUCAAUAGAUUAGACGUGGUGUUUAGUCUUGCGAUUACCUGGAAUUGCACCCAAUCCUGCGGAUUGUUGUGGUAGCCUUAGGGUAGUGACAGCCCUAACGGUCGACGUAUUCCACCACGUUCGGAUCGGUGUUUGUAGGACCGUAGUCAGACCUUCCUAGCCCCCUUCUCAUCUCUUUCUGUGGUUAGUGCUCUGAUGUCCCGAUAUAAAUAAUCUUGAAGUAAUUCUUGAUUCUUAGAUCAACUAGAGAACUCUCAGGAAACUUCCUCUCUUCCCACCAAAAACAAUUAUAUAGUUAUCCUUGGGCGAUCUUGGGUCUUAAUUAGUACACUCACGUUCUCUGUGGAAAAUCGAUACUCUGGAAUACUCCCGGGUGAAGGCUACAUCGGUAUCCGUGCGCUUGCGGAUUUUUCUGUUUGCGUUUAAAAUACCCAACAAUCACCUAUCUAAGAAAUUGGCAUCUAAUGAUAAAAUGCUAGAAAAAUAUAAAUAAUAGAAUGGAUAAUUUCUCUAUUGCCAUCAAGAAUCAAAUUAGCUUUAAUAAAAUUAUUGAAUCUCAGUUAAAUCAAAUAGCUGCUGCUGUUCCUGCUACUAACCCCGGUAUACCAUCACAACCGGAAGGAUUAGAAUCUACAAAUCUUGUAGACAUGUUUGAUGCAGGUAACUAUUGGAGUAACCCCGUCACUGAAGUUAAUACUGACCUUCUGCCGGUCAAGAGAGGCGACCCAGGACGCCCCGUCAUCUCGAUCUCCAUCGGCAUGGUGGACUUCCCAGAAGCACUCUGCGACUUUGGCUCCAGCGUCAACAUUAUGCCUAGGGUACUCUAUGAAAAAUUCUUUACAUAUCCUUUAUUAGAAACAACCAUGUGUUUGCAGUUUACAGAUCAGGCGUUAAGUUUCCCAAAGGGAAUAUUGAAGAACCUCUAUGUCCGAGUUGGUACCUUGUACGCCCCAGCAGGCUUCGUGGUGAUAGAGACCGGUAAUGAUGAGAGGGCACCCAUCAUCUUAGACAGGCCAUUCUUAAACACCUCGGGAGCUAUCAUCUAUGCUAGUGCUGCCAAGAUCAGUUUCUACAUCAAGGGAAGGAAGGAGACAUUUUUCUUCAAGAACAAGACUACACAAAUCCUAGAGCAAUCCCGACAUGAACCAAGGAAGAGGACCAACAGGAGGAAUAGGAACAAGCAAGUGUGGACCGAGUCAGCUAAGAUGGUCACUGCAUUUCAUGGAGGUCAAGAUCAUCGACUUAAGUCACCGUUUCUAACCAAGAAGGACGACCCAGGAAUGCCAAUCAUCUAUUGCUCCAUAAAUGGAUACAACUUCUACAAGAUGUUUUGCGACACCGGAUCGGGCGUCAACAUAAUGGCCGCAGUCACCUAUCGGCUCUUGUUCGAAACCAUGCCCUUAAAACCAACAUACAUUCAGCUCUAGAUGGCAGAUCAGACAUUUCGAGAGGUUAAAGGUAUAGUAACUGAUGUCCCUGUCAAAAUAGACGAUCAUUUUGUCUACACAGACUUUCAGGUUAUUGACAUGGGAGAAGACGAAUACGAUCCACCCGUCAUCCUUGGAAGACCGUUCCUUAGCACCGUUAAAGCAAUCAUCUACAUUGGAACUGGAGAAGUCCACAUGCACUUCCCCUCAGAGAAGGUACGCCGCUAUUUUACUGACCCUAACUAUAUCGUUGAAGACUCUAAGCAAGUCAGAACAAGAAGAAGACAACACAACCGCAACCAGAAGAGGCAAACCAUCAAGGACGGAUGGGCAGACUACGAAGGAGAAGUUGUAAGGUCUGAAGACAUACAGCUUGAACAAGAUUAUCCUGAGGAGACCGUAGCACCGAGUCAGGAGUGGAAAGAGAAGAUAACUAUACACGAAGAGGAGGCACCACUGGAAGCAUCGACUACGCCACCCAACGAAUCCCAGGACAACUAAGAAAAAUAGAGAGUCCCGUUCACGUUCGGAGGACUUAAAUACACCGAACGCCUUGCCAAGAGGUAAACUUGGUAGUUAUCCUUUCCCUUUCAAUUAUUUUAAACAGUUUGCUUAGUUAAUCAGGUUCAUAUCAUCUUAAAAAGAAAAUAAAAAAUGUCAAAAAACAGUAAGCCCCAUGUGAGUAUAUGAGUGGCAUAAACCCCAUAAGUACAUUCACUGUGGUGGCAUAAAAAUAAAAUAAAUAUUUCUUUUCUGCUUUAUAAAAUGAAAAUAUAAAAAUAGAGAGUAACAUUUAUUGAGGAGGCUCAACAUGAUAAAGGCUAGAUAUUUAUGCUAACACUUAAUCAGUUCCACAAAGCUUUGUUGUCUAUUUGAGCUCCACAUAAUUUAAGAAUCAAGAAGACUAGCAGAUGGAGGACAUUCUAAUCGCUGUCAGGAUACUGCCGACUUUCAAAUACACCUCUACCACCUCCUAGAUACAUCAGGAGAAAUUACGUCAAAAUUCAGCUUGGGGGAGAGCACCCCCAUUUAUCCCGCUAAGUAUUUCUAUCUAUCUUUAUACUUAUACUAUAUUAAAAUAUAAAUAUACAUAACUAUGAAAAAUCAAAUAAAGAUUUUGUACUUAUAUAUAUAUAUAUAUCUUUUGGUUAGUAUGCUUAAUAAAUAAAUAAAGUAGCUAUGCUAAACUGAAUCUUAAUAACAAAACUCUAGCAUGGAUAUGAUGAAUAGUUGCUCUGCCUAAUUUUCAAAUUUGAAUUCUCUCUCUAGUUUAGACAUAACUGUUAUAAUUUAAAGCUUGUUCUAAACCUAAACUUGUGGGAAGAAAACUUGAUCUGAAGUCUAAGUUGUUACCGGAUACGAUAUGGGAAGGUUGAGUUGCUGUUUAUCUAUUCUUAGAGUUGCUAGAAUUCUGGAGAAUUUUAUAUUUGAAAAUCUUUAAAAUAUCACAUGAUGAGUUCCGAUAUGAUGAGAGUUUAAAUUCCUACCACAGCCACAUAUAUACAUACUUGCUAGACUUUGAGCCACACAUUUAUUACUUUUUACUGCUUAUGAGCAUUGAGUGUGGUCAAGCUAUGUAGAUCCAUAGGAGCUUGUCAUGUGGUUAAAUCAAGAUUCACUUGCACGUUCACUCACACAUGUUGCUUCUACUCUGGAAGUACGCAUCCAUAUAUAUCCACCCAUUUCCAUCUCCAGAACUACCCAAAAAUAUUCUACUCCUAAUCCGGGAGAGAAUAGCCAAAAAUAUUUCUAUUUUUCCCUGUGAAAUAAAUGCUCAAGUUAUCUUGGUUACUACCACUUGCUAAAUUAUCUCAUGAGAUGAGUGCUCUAAAAAAAGAGAGAGAUGCGAGGAAAUAAAAAGGGGCAAGUGCCCGGAACCUCGAAAGAAAAGAAAAGUGAGACGAGAGGUAGAAAUGGACAAGUGUGCGACAGUAGAAUUAGGGGUACAAGAUACCCACCUGAGAGGAAAGAAAAAUAAAAUGUAGAGCAUCUCAUUCUUCUCAAAAAGUUUCAAAAAGCAAGAAAGGUAUGUAUCCCCUCAAAAGAACAAACGUAGAAUUAGACUUUCACCAUUGUUAUCACCAUCAUCACCAUACACCAUUCAUUCGCCACACAUGCACAUCUUGAUUUGACGUAUUGACUUGUUUCUCUGGAUCCAUGGAUUGACUAUGCAAUAAAUGUCUUGUAAGUAUGUAUAAUUUAUCUCCCACCUAUGAGCUCCAGAUAUCAAAAGCCUUAUUAGAGUAGGGUGAGAGAAAAGGCAAUGUCACUAUGCUUCAUACCACAAAUACUACAUAUAUUGAGAGAAGUCAUAUACCAUCAUUGCAUUGGUAAGGAUCCAGAAAUACCACAAAAGAGGGAUCUGAUUGAGUCAUACAAGAAAUCUCUAAGUUUUAUUUGAAAAUCUACAAAAAACUCGAGAGCUAUAGCUGAUCAACAAUAAGAGACAUGGCACUUGAUUAGACCGUUCUAUCUUUUAACUACUCAAGGCGGAAGUGACGGUUACAAGUCCCAUGGUGAAAGGUAAAAUAAGUAAGUUUUAAGUCUUGACAGUUUACUCUAACUCAGAGAUGAGACCUUAUUUAGAAGCAUGUGUACCGUCAAUUUUCAAAGAUAUUUUAACAACUUCUGAUCCAUCGCUGAGAUUAUCCUUGCUUAGGGACGAGCAAGAGGUAAGCUUGGGGGAGUUUGUUGACGGUCAUUAAGUAUCAAAUUUAAUUAUCAAUAAACAAAGAAAAGGAUCCAAAUGAAAUCAACAUCCAGACUUAGGGUUUUAUGUGACAGAAUUCCAUGAGUUUUGGUGUUUGUCUAUUUCUACAGGGGGUUAUCAGGAAAUACGGAAGAAAGGCCCACACGUCGGGAUUACAUAGAGAUAUUAACGUACCGCGCAAUUAUCUUACAUCUAGAAGACUCCAGAAUCCACGGGAACGAAGCAGAGGCAGUACGGGGCCUGGCCCGGGGCGCCCGCGCUAGAGACCAGGGCGCCCGCCCCCUGCUGGAGUCCAAUCCGGACUCUCUUUCCGGAUUACGCUCCACCGACAUAAAGGAUCAAGGAUAACCGUUCAAUCAAUGUCGGUUUGAUCCGACGACCCAUAUUCACUUGAAGGGACUAUAAAACCAGACCCCCUGGCCCCUGGAGGAGAGGACCUCUCAACCCUAAUUCAUUAUUCAUCAAGGGAGAAGAAGCCUCUGAUCAAGCCUAGAGCCACCACAUCAAUUAGACAUCUAGAUUAGCAUAGCUACAUAGGAUUAGAACUAGAAGGAGUCAAUCUUCGAUUGGUUUCCAGAUCUGUCAAGAGGAUUCUUGAUAAUUCUCUAUUGUUCUUCAAUUGUUCAUCUUUGUUCUUCAAUAUUAUGAAUAUGACUUUGUUCUACUUUAAUAUAUUGAUUAUGACUUUGCUCUACUUGUUUAUAUUCGCAAUUAUAUUGUUCUUAGUUUAUCAAAGUUAUAUACUUGGCUUAGUUCGAUUGUAAUUAUAUACAUGUUUAGGAUCGUAUAGCGUUUAUCCAUCGGAUCCAUGGGUAAAUGAUACAUAUUGUGUAGGUGUGGUGCUUAUACCGUAUUUAUCUGCGAUUGUACCCUAUAUGCCAGAUCGUAGGGUAGUUCGUGAUAGUGACAGCUUCAUUGAUUCUUAUAUAGUCCCCCUCUCAUGUAUAGGGCUGACAGAGCAACAUGGGGAGUGAUUGCUAUGUUUCUCAUUUACCUUGAUAAUAUCACUAUGUAUGGGCGUAAUCUUGUCUCACAAUGAUUGUUAAGUAUAAUUGCACUAACUAUGAUAUGCUAGACUGUAUAGUUAAGAAUAACUUAGGAAAUAUUCUUGUAGUUCGUCCUAAUUCCAUGCUAAUGACUUUCUAGAAUAUCUAAUUGAGGUGCUUAUCAUAUUUAUUAUGUGGCUAAGUGUUGACGGUCCUUAAGUAUCAAAUUUAAUUAUCAAAUAAACAAAGAAAAGGAUCCAAAUGAAAUCAACAUCUAGACUUAGGGUUUUAUUUGACAGAAUUCCACGAGUUUUGGUGUUUGUCUAUUUCUGCAGGGGGUUAUCAGGAAAUAAGGAAGAAAGGCUCACAUAUCGGGAUUACAUAGAGAUAUCAACGCACCGCGCAAUUUUCUACCAUCUAGAAGACUCUAGAAGCCACGGGAAGGAAGCGGAGCCCGAAAGGGGCCAGGCCCAGGGCGCCCGCACUGAGGACCUGGACGCCCGCCCACCUCUGGACUCCGUUCCGGACUCUCUUCGCACACGACGUUCCACCGACCUAUUGGAUCCAGAAUAACAUAGUACCACCUCGCCUAUCGACCCAAAAACGCAUAGAAGGGGAGGACUAUAUAAGGAGACCCCCUCUGGCCCCUGGAGGAGACAAGAAAUUAUCAUAGAGAUUGAGGGGUGCCCUCGAAGGAAAACCUCUUCUCUAAAUAAUAUUUCUUUUUAGGCUUAGCAACCAAUGUAAAGUAGAAAUAGAUCUUCUAGUUUCUACUAGAUUGAGAGAGAUAGAGUGAAGGUGUGGAUCGGAGGAGGGCCGGCCUGUCGGUGUCUACUCCGAGUUGUACCUACGGGAUCAAGUCUCCUAACCCGAGGCUUGCUUCUAAGAUUCUUCAGUAAUUCGACUUCUAAUACUAGUAAGUUCUUGUUUUAUUGUUCUUUCGUUUAUGAGUUUACUUUAAUCCUCUUCCGGUUGAGUAUUAGAGUAAUCACUUGUUAGCGUAAACGUGGUGUUUAGGCUAGGGUACUCAUAGAUAUCCCCUGAUCUAGCUGGACCGUGGUAGUAGCGAGGAACGUGACAUUUCCGAGUUACCUUUGCAGAUCACAUCUCGUUAGCAGGACGGGUAGGUUUAUAGGUGCGGGUCGAACAUCCUUUGUGUUGUCUAGAUUCCGUGAGCCUCCCCAAUAGAACAGUAGAUCAUCCUUACCAAGGUUAGAACGAGACUAAGGUUGCAGUCUUCUCUAUACAUCACUCACAUCGAGAGACAUUCUUUGUAGUCUAAAGGGAUAGUAGCAAUAGAUUUGGUUAGUCAGAUGCACCCUUUCUCCCAGUGGUAAAAAUAUAAAUACGAUAACUCUGGAUAACCUCCCGGGUGAAAUGCUCACCGAUAUCCGUGCACUUGCGGAUCAUUUUCUAAUUGCGUUACCAAAUAUCAACAAGCAUUUCUGGCGUCGUUGCCGGGGAGAAAGACGGUUUGCUGAGAUAACUUUGAGUCUUGCUAUUAUCUUGUAUUAUACUUUUAUACUUUUAUUCUUUUAUCUUUUUAUUUUUAAUUUUAUGGAUAACUCAAAUUCCAUACCUAUUAUUGAAUUCUUUGCACCUCCGGAGACCAGCCAUAGACCAUGGGAGUCAACACGUCCUGCCCCUAAUUAUGAUCUGUGUCCGGAGUUGAUUGCAAUAGGUCAAAACCAACCCUUUUCUAUGGCCGAGGUCCUAUCUUUUAAUCAAAAAAGAUAAUGCACUUUUAGCUACACCUAGGGAAUGUGUUAAUCUUUCUAUAAAUUCUGGUUUAGACCUAGCCCUACAAGACCAUGUUUUUCCUAGAUAUUUUCACAUUGGUCUUAAUCAUAUAACCUUUGGUAGAGUCCUUCUUUCUUUAUCUAUUAGUAAAGGAAGGUAUGUCUUCAUUUGUGGACAUCCUUCUUGUACUAGUCUUCAUAGAAAAAUCUUAGAAAUAGAGAAGGAAUCAUCUCCCAGACGAGGAAAGGAAGUUUCAAUAGCCGAUUUCCAAACAUUUCAAUCCCAUGAUUCGGCUAUCCAUCCCAUCCUUGAGCUUAAUAAAUUCUACUAUGCUCUUUCUCUUAAACCUCCCGAUAAUCCUAUGAAUUUCUCUAGACAUCCCAUGCAUAAGAAGGAGGAUCGAGAAGAGCAACAUCAAUGGCAAGAGGGCAUUAAAAAUCCAUGUGCUAUCACCAUUGAAUGGAUGGAUAAAACAAACUUGAGAGACAAUCCUAGAGGAAUUUUAAGCAUUCAUGAAGAAUUAACCUUGGAGUUUGAGAAUGGGAGAAACAACAGUGAGCAUGGAAGUUAUUUCAUAAAUAUCUUACCAAGUCCUUGCUCAUAUAAAACAUCUCCCCAAUCAAUUGGUCUCUCCAUCCUUACCACAUUUGAGAUCUCCAACCCUCUCUUCUUUUCCAUUUAUAAAAACUUUAAAAGAGCGGUUGUCGAUGCAUAUGUCUAUAAUAAAUAUUGCAGAUCUCGUUGAGUUAAUUGAUGGUUUCCCAAGGACAAGCUUAGUGUCCUAAAACAAGCACUUCUAAUUAUUUGCAACAUUGCCUUGUGUAUUGAGCAUAUAAAGAUAAUUGUAGAAAUAUUCCUUCGGGUAUUCUUGUCACUAACCUUUCCAGGAUUGGAGCAAGAAGAUCGGAUGAAAGACAAGCACAAGGUAUGUCCAACCAACCAUCACACAACAUUGAAUUAAAUUCAUCCAAACUUGAAUUUUGCAAAAUUCAAGCUUGGGGGAGUACUUUACAUAAAAACAUCCUUUGCCAUGUUGCUACAUUGGUUGUCCCUACCUUUGAGAGAUGCUCAAUUUGUUAAGUACUAAUUACACUACUUCACCUCCACUUGAGCAGAUCGCUAAAAAUGCUCUCAUGCUACCUUUAUUUGCUUUAGUAUAUGUCUAGGUUUGGAGUACUUUCAUUUAUCUCUUAAAUCAAGCAUGGUGCUUAGUUUAGGAAUGAUGAUCUUACUUCCAAAAGUUUUUCUUUUUUAAAUUAAGCAUGGUGCUUAGGUUAAAAUGCCCUCCUAAAUCAAAUUAGACAUGGUGUCUAGGUUGAUUUUUGAGCCGAUAGUAUGCUAUAGUAGAUAUGGGAUAUUUUGUUGGACUAACCCCUGCAGGAAAACUUUCCAUAUCAACCUGGGAAGUCCUGAGAUAUAAACUCAUUGGAGAUAAAGGAGACACAUGAAGUUUAACAAUUUGCACAAGAAGGACAUAGCUCAUUCAUCAUAAAGAGAUGAUCCAUGGAGGGUGCCACAAACACGAUGCAAGGAAAGCUUCCACAAGGUGAUACUGUACCGUCACUCUUCAAGUAAGGUAACAUUUUAAGGUACUUGACUAUCACUUUUAUAAGCUUCUCCUUGGUUCUAGCGUUCACAUAAAAUAAAGAGACAAACAUGUAUGAUUUGUAGCUCCAAAUUAAUCAACCCAAUUAAUUCAACAUGUUUAGUCCUUUAAUCUUUGUUCUUAAUACUACCUUCGUGAUCCCACACUCCUAAUCAUAUAAGCUAAUAUGUUGCUCAUUCAAUCUUUGGAAGAUAUAAACAAAACAUAAAUAUAGAUAGAUUAUCUUUCCAUUAGGUUGAGCCAUCUGAUCUAACAAAUGUUUUAAAUGCUACACUCAUCAUCCAUCAACUUUGUCUUGCUCACUAUGCUUAAGGAUAGAGAAGAACAAAUACACUUUUGGUUCUGUUGGUGUUUUCCACCAACAGGGCCCAUGCACUUGAUCUCUGCCUUGUCUCUAUGAGCAGGACACAUUUUGAGAAACGUGAAGGCAUUUUUACAACUCCCAGAUUCCAUCAAGUGAAGAACCGGGAUCUACAAGCACAAACACAAUGGAGAUGAGACACUUAGUUUCCCAAAAGAAAUAUUGAAGAACCUCUGUGUCCGAGUUGGUACCUUGUACACUCCAGCAAACUUCGUGGUGAUAGAGACUGGCACUGAGGAGAGGGCACCCAUCAGAUUAGGGAGGCCAUUCCUAAACACCAGAAGUGUCAUCUACGCUAAUGCUGCCAAGAUCAGUCUCUACAUCAAGGGGAAGAAGGAGAUUUUCCUUCAAGAACAAGACUACACAAACUUCAGAGCAAUCCCGACAUGAACCAAGGAAGAGGACCAACAGGAGGAACAGGAACAAGCAAAUGUGGACCGAGUCAGCUAAGAUGGUCGCUGCAGCUCAAGGAGGUCAAGAUCGUCGACUCAAGUCACCUUUCUUGAUUAAGAAGGACGACCCUGGUGUUCCAAGAAUCGAAUGCAUAAACAAUGGAUACUCUUUUUAGAAGACACUCUACGACACCGGAUCUGACGACAACAUAAUGGCCGCAGUCACUUAUCAGCUCCUGCAUGGAACCAUGCCCCUGCAACCAAGAUACAUUCAGCUUCAAACAAUUUUCAGGUCAUUGACAUAGGAGAAGACGAGUACGAUCCACCCAUCAUCCUUGGAAGCCCAUUCCUCAACACUAUCAAAGCCAUCAUCUAUAUUGGAAUCAGAGAAGUCCACAUACACUUCUCCUCUGAGAAGGUAUGCCGCUAUUUUACUGACCCUAACUAUAUAGUUGAAAACUCUAAGCAGGUCAGGACAAGAAGAAGACAACGCAACCGCAACCAGAGGAGGCAAAUCAUCAAGGACAGAUGGGUAGACUACGAAGGAGAAGUGAUAAGGUCUGAAGACAUAUAGCUUGAAUAGAACUGUCCUGAGGAGACCGUAGCACCGAGUCAGGUGUGGAGAGAGAAGAUCGUUAUAUAUAAGAGGUGCCGCCGGAACCACCGACUACGCCAUCCAGCGAAUCCCAGGACGACUGAGAAAAUGGAGAGUCCCGUUUGGAGGACUUAAAAACACAGAACGCCUUGCCAAGAGGUAAACUUGGUAGUUAUCCUUUUCUUUUCAAUUAUUCAAUUAUAGUUUGCUUAGUCAAUCAGGUUCAUGCUAUCUUGAAAAGAAAAUGAAAAUGUUAAAAAAUAGUAGGCCCCAUGUGAGGAUGCUCAUGGCAUAAAACCCAUAAGUACAUUCACUUUGGUGGCAUAAAAAAAUAAAUAAGUUUUCAUCUUACAAUAAAAAUAUAAAAAUAAUAAGUGCAUGAUCCUGCUAAAUAAGUAACAUUUGUUGAGGAGGCUCAACAUGAUAAAGGCUAGAUAUUUAUGCUAACACUUAACUAGUUCCACAAAGCUUUGUUGUCUAUUUGAGCUCCACAGAAUUCAAGGAUCAAAGAAGACUAGCAGACGGAGGACAUUCUAAUCGCUGUCAGAAUGCUGCUGACUUUCAAAUACACCUCUGCCACCUGCUAGCUACAUCAGAAGAAAUUACUUCAAAAUCCAGCUUGGGGGAGAGCACCCCCAUUUAUCCAGCUAAGUGUUUCUACUCGCGUUUAUACUUUACUCAAAUAAUAAAAGAUGCAUAAUCAUGAAAGCCCACAUAAAGAUUUUGUGCUUUUAUAUAUUUUUGCUUAGUUUGCUAAAUAAAUAAAUAAAUAAAGUUUGCUAUGAACCCUCAUGAUAAACUCUCAAAUGGAAAUGAUGAAUAGUUGCUCUGCCAUGACUAGUUCUUAAAAUUGAAAUCUCUCUCAAGUUUAGGUAUGACUGUUAUGAAGUAAGAUUUGCUCUAAACCUAAACUUGUGGGAAGAGUACUUGAUCUAAAGUCUAAGUCGUUAACGGAUAUGAUAUGGGAAGGUUGAGCUGCUGUUUAUCUGUUCCUAGAGAUGCUAGAAUUCUGGAGAAUUUUAUCUUUGAAAAUCUUUAAAAUGUUGCAUGAUGAGUUCCUGUAUAAUGAGAGUUUAAAUUCCUACCAUAGCCAUAUAUACAUGCUUGCUAGACCUUGAGCCACACAUUUACUAUUUACUGCUUAUGAGCAUUGAGUGUGGUCAAGCUGUGUAGACCCUUAGGAGCUUGUCAUGUGGUUAAAUCAAGAUUCACUUGCACGUUCACUCAUACAUGCUACUUCUACUCCGGAAGUACCAUCCACAUAUAUCCACUCAUUUCUAUCUCCAAAACCACCCAAAAGUAUUCUACUCCUAAUCCGGGAGAGAAUAACCAAAAAUAUUUCUAUUUCCCCUUGUGAAAUAAAUGCUCAAGUUAUCUUGUUACUACCACUUGCUAUAUUAUCUCAAGAGAUGAAUGCUCUGAAAAAAAAGAGAGAAAAAGAAAAUAAAAGAUACGAGGAAAUAAAAAGGAGCAAGUGCUCGGAACCUCGAAAGAAAAGAAAAAGAAGAGCAUCUCAUUCUCCUCAUAAAGUUUCAAAAGCAAGGAAGGUAUGUAUCCCCUCAAAGAGCAAAGUAGAAUUAGACUUCCACCACCAUUGUUAUCACCAUCAUCACCAUACACCAUUCAUUCGCCACACAUGCACAUCUUGAUUUGGCUUAUUGAUUUGUUUCUUUGGAUCCAUGGUUUGACUAUGCAAUAAAUGUCUUGUAAGUAUGUAUACUUUAUCUCCCACCUAUGAGCUCCAGAUAUUAAAGCCUUAUUAGAGUAGGGUGAGAGAGAAGACAAUGUCACUAUGCUUCAUACCACAAAUUCUACAUAUCUUGAGAGAAGGCAUAUACCAUCACUGCCUUGGUAAGGAUCCAAAAAUACCACAAAAGAGAGACCUGAGAGAAUCAUACAAGGAAUUUCUGAGUUUUAUUUGAAAAUCUGCAAAAACCCCAGAGCUAUAGCUGAUCAAGAAUAAGAGACAUGGCACUUGGCUAGACUGUUCUAUCUUUUAACCACUCAAGACAGAAGUGACGGUUACAAGUCCUAUGGUGUAGGUAAAGUAAGUAAGUUUUAAGUCUUAACAGUUUAUUCUAACUCGGAGAUGAGAUCUUGCUUAAAUGCGUGUGUACUUCUAAGAAAUGAAACCACUGCAGAAACUCUUGAGUUCAUCCUUGCUCAGGGACGAGCAAGAGGUAAGCUCGGGGGAGUUUGUUGACGGUCCUUAAGUAUCAAAUUUAAUUAUCAAAUAAACAAAGAAAAGGAUCCAAAUGAAAUCAACAUCUAGACUUAGGGUUUUAUCUGACAGAAUUCCACGAGUUUUGGUGUUUGUCUAUUUCUGCAGGGGGUUAUCAGGAAAUAAGGAAGAAAGGCCCACAUGUCGGGAUUACAUAGAGAUAUCAACGCACCGCGCAAUUUUCUACCAUCUAGAAGACUCUAGAAGCCACGGGGAGGAAGCGGAGCCCGAAAGGGGCCAGGCCCAGGGCACCCGCCCUGAGGACCUAGGCGCCCGCCCACCUCUGGACUCCGUUCCGAACUCUCUUCGCACACGACGUUCCACCGACCUAUUGGAUCCAGAAUAACAUAGUACCACCUCGCCUAUCGACCCAAAAACGCAUAGAAGGGGAGGACUAUAUAAGGAGACCCCCUCUGGCCCCUGGAGGAGACAAGAAAUUAUCAUAGAGAUUGAGGGGUGCCCUCGAAGGAAAACCUCUUCUCUAAAUAAUAUUUCUUUUUAGGCUUAGCAACCAAUGUAAAGUAGAAAUAGAUCUUCUAGUUUCUACUAGAUUGAGAGAGAUAGAGUGAAGGUGUGGAUCGGAGGAGGGCCGGCCUGUCGGUGUCUACUCCGAGUUGUACCUACGGGAUCAAGUCUCCUAACCCGAGGCUUGCUUCUAAGAUUCUUCAGUAAUUCGACUUCUAAUACUAGUAAGUUCUUGUUUUAUUGUUCUUUGGUUUAUGAGUUUACUUUAAUCCUCUUCCGGUUGAGUAUUAGAGUAAUCACUUGUUAGCGUAAACAUGGUGUUUAGGCUAGGGUACUCAUAGAUAUCCCCUGAAUAGCUGGACCGUGGUAGUAGCGAGAAACGUGACAUUUCCGAGUUACCUUUGCAGAUCACAUCUCGUUAGCAGGGCGGGUAGGUUUAUAGGUGCGGGUCGAACAUCCUUUGUGUUGUCUAGAUUCCGUGAGCCUCCCCAAUAGAACAGUAGAUCAUCCUUACCAAGGUUAGAACGAGACUAAGGUUGCAGUCUUCUCUAUACAUCACUCACAUCGAGAGACAUUCUUUGUAGCCUAAAGGGAAUAGUAGCAAUAGAUUUGGUUAGUCAGAUGCACCCUUUUGUCCCAGUGGUAAAAAUAUAAAUACGAUAACUCUGGAUAACCUCCCUGGUGAAAUGCUCACCGAUAUCCGUGCGCUUGCGGAUCAUUUUCUAAUUGCGUUACCAAAUAUCAACACUAAGUUAUGCUGAUCAGAUUAAUUAUCUUUGUCACCAUUCAUUACUUUAUAUAUCUUUUAUGUGACACUUAUCCCUGUAUGAAAGAGUUAGAUAAAUGUUCUCAAUUAUACAUGCAAUGAUAGAUACUCAAUCUUAUAUUCCAUUCUAUAAUCAACAUUGAUGAUUACUAAUCCCUUCCCAGUGGUAAAAAUAUAAAUAACGAUACCUAGAAUACUUCCAGAUUAAAAUGCUAUAUCGGUAUUAAUCUGUGCACUUGCAGAUCUCAUUUGAUUAUUUAUUUAGAUGAGCAAUUGCAUAUUUCAAUACUGCGUCUCUCAUGUUAUGCUGGGGAUGACAACUUGGCUUAAGUGGCAUGAGGGAUAGGUUUGCCAUUUUUGGCGCCGUUAUGAGAAAUAGAAAACUAAGUCUAAUUUUGGUAAUGACGUUAAGAAUGCCCAACAGUUGGAUGCUGAAAGAAGCGCAUCGGUGGAUCCUCAACAUCAGAUUACUGCCAAUGACGCUAAAGGCAAGGGUCUGAUUCAGGAAGGAACCAGCUCAGGAAGACCUCCCCGAUCUGGCAUUGUGAUAACUCAUAGAAGGCAUCGGGAGACCUGGCAACAAUGUGAAGAUCGGUAUCGGCGCCAACAGGAGGAUCAUUGUCGGGAAGAAGAAAGAUGCCGGCAAGAGUGGAAUCGGCAUAAGGAUCAUUGGAACUGCCCGUUCUUUAUCCACUGUUGGGAGCGAUACAUCAAACUACCCACUGUUAGAGACUACCCUGAGUGCAAUGGUUAUGAUCGGUAUGAUAGACCUAAUCGGCAGUAUCAAAACGAUGGUCGGUGAUUUAAUGGGCCGAUUAGAGGAAGAGCCUCUGUUCAUGAUCGGCUGGGGGGCAGGCUCAGCGUGCAUGAUAGACUUGGUGAUCGUAUCGGUUAUUUUCCCUGAAACCAAGAGGAGCUUGAGGAAAUGGCGGAUGCACUAGUUCCUGAUGAAUUCAUAUUUUGCAGGGAUGCUAAUACUUUCGGAUGGAGUCAAGGGAAAAUCGUCGCCAAUCGGUAAGGCAGCCACAACUUUCUCCAUGGUGUCCAGAAGGGCUGACUAGGACACAGAAGAGAAGGCUGUAGCGUGAAAGAUAAGAAGAGCUGAAUAAAGGAGAGAAUUCUACUAAGUCUGGAGACCGGCAGCAGCCAAAUUCUAAAGGAAAAGAACCAUCGACAGAUAUUAAUAUGGUGUUCAUGUUGCUGAUGGAGUUCCUUGCGCCAUCUAGUGAUGAUGAGGGGAUGGAUUUUUCUGACUAGAUAGCUCAGUUGGCUCUGGAUCCAAUGACGGCUAUCUUUGAAAAGCCUGUCGACAAUGAGAGGCGGCAUCUUAAAGCUCUGUUUGUCAAAAGAAGGGUUGAUGGGCAGCCAAUGACCAAGAUACUCGUUGAUGGUGGGGCUGCUAUCAAUAUUAUGCCGUAUGCAGUGUAUCGGAAGCUUGGGAAAGGGGAUCAAGAUUUAACCAAGACCGAUAUGAUGCUCAAAGAUUUUGAAGGAAAUGUGUCUCCGGUCUAGGGAGCCAUAUGUGUUGAGUUGACCAUCGGCAGCAAAACUUUGCCGACGACUUUCUUUGUCAUCAGUGGAAAGGGUGCUUAUAAUCUACUGUUGGGGAGAGAUUGGAUCCAUGCCAAUUGUUGCGUCCCAUCGACAAUGCACCAAUGCUUCGUUCAGUGGGUAGGUGACAAGAUUGAAAUUGUCCUGUGGGAUUCUUCAUAUGUCAUUGCAUCGGCAGAGGCAGAUACUUAUGAGAGGACUAGAUGCAUCUUGGGGGAGAUUUGGGAGAAGGAUUUCCUCAAGGUCGCCGAUUACAAAUUCCACCGAUCCAAGCAGUCGGUUCUGAUGAGAAGUUUUAAUGGAUAGGUUCGCCGAUGAUGGAAAAUUAGGCCAGGGGUUUACAUCGGCCGAUGAUUUGGUAGAAGUAGAUAUAGGUAAUGGUGAUAGGCCAAGGCCUACGUUUAUUAGUGCUAAAUUAGAUUCUGAGUGUAAGCAACAGUUAACCGAUUUGUUAAAGGAAAAUAAAGAUUGCUUUGCUUGGGAUUAUACUGAGAUGCGUGGUUUAGACCAAUCGAUCGUUGAACAUCGGUUACCUAUCAAAUCUGGAUUUUGGCCACAUCAGCAGCCAGCCCGCCGAUGCAAUCCCAAUAUUCUUCCCGAUAUCAAGGCUGAAAUAACUAAACUUAUUGAAGCUAAAUUUUUUCUGCAAUGUCGGUAUGUUGAGUGGAUUUCCAAUGUUGUUCCAGUUUACAAGAAAAACGGGAAGCUUCGUGUCUGCAUUGAUUUCAGAAAUCUUAACAAGGCUACGCCGAUGGACGGUUAUCCAAUGCCAGUUGCCGAUUUACUGGUUGAUGCUGCAGCUGGACAUCAGAUUAUUAGAUGUCCAGGUCAUGUUGGAUUGUUUGAAUGGAUAGUCAUGACCUUUGGCUUGAAGAAUGCUGGUGCUACCUAUCAAAGGGCUAUGAAUUUUAUCUUUCAUGAGCUCAUCGGCAAGUUGGUGGAAAUUUACAUUGAUGAUGUGGUGGUUAAGUCUGGGGAUUUUGUAAAGCAUCUUGCCGAUUUACGGAAGGUAUUGGAAUGUACAAGGAAACAUGGCCUGAAAAUGAAUCCUAACAGAUGUGCAUUUGGCGUAUCGGCAGGGCAGUUUCUUGGUUUCAGGGUGCAUCAGAGAGGAAUUGAAAUUAGUAGGAGAUCUAUUGAUGCCAUCAACAAAAUAGUUGCUCCCACCAAUAAAACUGAGCUCCAAUCUUUGAUCGGUAAGAUAAAUUUUAUUAGGCAAUUUAUAUCUAACUUGUCUGGUAAAAUUUGUGCUUUUAGUCCUCUGCUUAAGAUGAAAGCCGAUCAAGAGUUUAUGUGGGGAAGAGACCAACAGUUAGCAUUGGAUGAAAUCAAGAAUUAUUUGACAAAUCCUCCAGUUUUGAUUCCACCUUAGCAAGUAAAGCCUUUCAAAUUGUAUUUGUCUACCGAUGGGAUGGUUAUCGAUUCAACUUUAAUUCAAGAGUUUGAAGGGAAGGAGCAUGUGAUUUACUAUUUGAGUAGAAGACUGAUUGAUGCUGAGACAAGGUAUUCGGCAAUUGAAAAAUUAUGUUUAUGCUUAUACUUUUCAUGUGUCAAAUUGAGGCACUAUCUGCUAUCGACCGAGUGCACCGUUAUAUGCAAGAACGAUGUAGUAUGAUACAUGCUAUCUAUGCUGAUUAUGAGUGGUAGAAUCGGUAAAUGGAUUUUGGCACUAUCGGAAUUCGAUCUACGUUAUGAAUCGGCUAAGGCAUUUAAGGGGCAGAUUAUGGCCGAUUUUGUGACUCAGCAUUGCGGUGUAGUGGAAACUUUGGAAAUUGUUCCUUGAACGCUCUUCUUUGAUGGAUCUACGUGUGACCGGGGGCAGGAAUUGGUAUAGUACUAAUUUCUCCUCGGGGAAAAAGUAUGAGUUCGCCUUGCUGAUUGUGGCCACGUCGACGAAUAAUCAAGCGGAGUAUCAAGCUUUGAUCAAAGGGUUGGAAUUGUUAAAGGAGGUCCGUGCUGAUGCUGUUGAAAUCUUCGGUGAUUCUAUGCUUGUUAUAAAUCAAUUGGCUGGGAUUUAUGAAUGCCGAAGCAAAGUCUUGAUAACCUAUUAUGAAAAAAGUAUGCAACUAUUAAAGGAAUUCAAGGAUUUCCGAUUAUAGCAUGUUCCUCAAUUACAUAAUGAGGAGGCUAAUCGGUUGGCUCAGCAUGCCUCGGGAUAUCAACCCAUAUUAAAUGCGUUAUCGGCAAUCAGUGCCGAUGAUUGGAGAAAAGAGAUCAAUGAUUAUUUGAAAGAUCCAUCUAAAAAGGUUGAGAGGCGUGUUAGGUUUCAAGCUACCAAGUAUGUACUCCUUCGGGAUGAGCUAUAUUAUUGAACAAUAGAUGGUGUUCUUCUCAAGUUCUUAGGUGAUGAUGAGGCUAAAAGUUUGAUGGGUGAGAUCCAUGAAGGAGUAUGUGGAGCGCAUCAGUCGGCUUUUAAGAUGAAAUAGAUGAUUAGGAGAAACGGGUAUUAUUGGCCGACUAUACUCGAGGAUUGCUUUAAAUAUUUCAAAGGAUGCCAAGGGAGUCAGAAAUUUGGCAAUAUUCAAAGGGCUCCCGCAUCAGCCAUGAAUCCCAUUAUUAAGCCUUGGCCAUUCCGGGGAUGCGCUAUUGAUUUAAUCGGCCAGAUUUACCCACCAUCAAGCAAGGGGCAUAAGUUCAUCUUAGUUACCACUGAUUAUUUCACUAAGUGGGUUGAGGUUGUUCCUUUGAAGAAGGUAACAUCAGCUAAUAUGAUUGAUUUUGUGAAAGAGCAUAUUGUUUACUGAUUUGGUAUUCCUCAAACAAUUACUACCGAUCAGGGUACCAUGUUUACAUCGGGAGAGUUUGAUGAAUUUGCAAUCGGUAUGGCAAUUAAAGUGUUGAAUUCUUCUCCUUAUUAUGCUCAAGCCAAUGGGCAGUCCGAGGCAUCUAACAAGGGAAUUAUUAGGCUCAUCAAAUGAAAGAUUGAAGAAAAUCCUAGGAGGUGGCAUACAUUGUUGAGUGAAGCUUUAUGGUCAUAUUGGAUGGCAUGUCAUGGGUCGACCUAAGUUUCACCUUAUCAGUUGGUGUAUGGGCACGAUGCAGUGCUACCAUGGGAAAUUAAGACUUGAUCUAAGCAACUAUCUUUUCAAGACCAAUUGGCUGCCGAUGACUAUGCUACUUUGAUGAAAGAUGAGUUAGACCAUUUAGCAGAGCAUCAGCUGAGAGCUUUGAUAAGUAUAGAAGAAAAUAAAAGGAGAGUCGCUAGGUGGUAUGAUAAGAAAGUGAAGGCUAAGGAAUUUGCCGAUGGAGAUUUGGUGUGGAAACUAAUUUUACCGAUUGGGACUAAAAGUUCAAAGUUUGGCAAGUGGUCUCCUAAUUGGGAAGGUCCUUAUCGGAUAAAUCGGUCUGCUCCUGGUAAUGCUUAUAUUUUAGAGACUCUUGAAGGAAUUGAAUUUCCUAGAGCUUUAAAUGGAAAAUAUUUAAAGAAGUAUUACCCGAGCAUUUAAAUCGAUGCAUGAAAGUUUAAGUGCCGAUAACAUUCCUAUCAGUUGGAGUAAAACGUAUCUGGGACUGAGUAUGAUGUUUUUAAAAGAUGCCGAUAACAGUCCUAUUGGCUAGACCAAAAUAGUCAGCAGUUUCUAAAGGCAGAAUAAGACAUGCUGCCGAUGGAGAGCUCAUAUAUUCAGCAAGGCAUGAAUAGCCGAUAUGGGGCGUAGACGGAUUUGAUCGGCUUCUUCUAUCUCCCUGAUGUCUUCAUCGGCAGAGCCCUCCACUGGCUUCAACUUAUUCUUCAUCUACAGUGCCUUGCGGGCUUGAUUGUUUCGUUCUUGCUGGAGGGUCUUGAUCAUUUCGGGUAGCUGACUUUCUUCUUGCCGAGCUUGAGAGAGGGCCUCUUCUACUUGCUUGAACUCUGCCAGCAGGGCUUCCCUUUUUGCCGACAGAUCGGAGAUCUUCUGCCUUAGUGUCUCCCCUGAGGACUGCAGAGUGUCGAUGCUCUUGUGCUUCUCAUCAGCAAGGCGGUUCACUCGCAUUACUUCCUCUGUGAGUAGGGCAUGGGUGGCUCUAUCGGGAAGGCGUUGGGUAGCCUUUUGGUACUGGAGUUGGCGGUUCUCCAAGUGUGCAGCCUGGAAAAGGAUCUCUUCGGCAUCGGCAGGGAUUUGACCCCUAAGAGCUUUGAACAGAGCCUUGGCUGGAUCAGAAUCAUCAACCAGUUGGGCAGUGUCUUGAUGUAGCUGGGUCAACAGAUCUUCCAGUUUUGCUCUGAUCUCUAAAGAUGAAAUCCCUACUGCUUGGGAAGAGCUGGCUUCCUCAUCUUCAUCAUCAGAAAUUUCGAUGGCGAAGGAAAAGAGGCUGUCGAGAGAGUCUUGCUCCUAAAAAGGAAAAAGGAGAUAAGUCAUUUGAUGACCAAAUGUUAGUGAUAUGAAGGAUAGAGGUCAGAUGACUUACUUGUUUCAGAGCUAUUUCUCGCCUCUGGCUAGCUGAAGCCAAUGGUACAACAGGUUGGUCGGCCGGAGUUACCGAUGGGACAAUGUCAGCUGAAAGAAUAUUAAUGAUAAUUAUAAGUUGGAAAAAUAAAUCCAUCGACGAUGACUUUAUGAAUAGAACUUCACCUUGAGGAGGUGCAUUGCUUGUCUGGAUUGAAGAGACUACCGAUGAUAUGAUUGGACCCACUAGGUCGGCAGUCCGCUCAAGUACAUCGGCUAAUGUUCCUUCUGGCUGAGGUAGUUCUUGUGGCUUAGGUGGAGACAGUGCUUGCUGUGUCUGAACUUCUGGCGAAGAAGGGGACGAUUCCGCAUGAAUCGGUGACCCUGGAGGAGGAGGAGGAGGCGAUGCUGUCUUCUGGCAUUUUGCUUGUGACUUGGUGCUUUUGGGACCAUUUCUCUUGGCUUGGCUAGGCUGGGGGCAUCGGCACUUGUCUUUGUACUUCUGGUCCUUGCCGAUUUGCCAGUUUGCUGAUGCAACAACAAAAGUUUCAUAAGUACAAAUAUAACAGAGUAUUGGUGAAAUUUUGGUUGAAACAGUGAGAGUUACAGAUGAAGUUCCCAUGGGAGCCGAUGUAUCCUGAAAAGGCUGUGUAAGUAUAGAAUGGAAUCAGUAUAAAUUGAAAAAGUCAGGGAUUUACGUUGAAAGCUUGUGCCAAAGUAGUAGCAGCAACCGGUGGGAAUGUCUUUGCUUGUCUGGUGGUAAUCUUCUUGAAACGCACGUUUCGGUGCAUUAAAGCCACUAGGCUUGGUGCAUUGUUGCCGAUCAGAGAAAUUGGGCCCAAUGGAAGGAGUUCGAUCGGCUUUCCGCUCCUGCUGAUUGUCGGUGGUGUAUCGUCGACCUAAUUAAAAUUGAAGAAGAAGUUACCGAUAAGAAUAAAAGUAAUAAAAGGAUUGAGGCAUCGGUUGAAGACUUACAGUGUUCUCGGGGACUUUGUACUUGGGGUCGAUCAUGCCGCGGUAAGUGAGAGCCGAUCUGUAGAAUAGGUGCUCUUUCAAUUCCUCCCACCAUUGUUUGUAUGCCUGAGUAAUGAAGAGAGCUGGGAUCCAAGCCGAUAGAUCGAUGUCUGACGUAUCGGCAUUUGGUGGAAGUUGAGCUACUCUGAUCCACUCGAGACCGCUGGUUAUGGUCUCCCUUGGCUACACCUCAUCAGCAUAACAGAGCGCGAUCGGCAGCUACCUAAAGGCUAGUUGACGAGCCACUGCCGAUGGGUUGUAAAACUCAUAAGUGAGGUUGGAGGUUUCCCCACUGCUGAAGAAAUUCACUGGAAUAGCUCUCAGAGUGAUAAUUGCCAUCAUCAAAUCGUGGUCCUUGUUGAGGGCAUCAUCAAUGGGGUGGAAAGUGAGCGGGAAUCUGGUUUCUAGAUCUUCAUAAGGCAUCCAUGCCCGCUGGUCUUUGGCUAGACCUUCAUAGAGAGUUUGGAAGAAUCGGCUAACCUGGUCUUCAUUACCACGAGUACCAGGUAGAACUAUGGCGGCCUCACCGUAGUUCAAAGGGGAGCGAAUUGCCGAUUCUUCAUCAUCCUGUUCGUAAUCUUCGGCUAUGUCUCUAGAAAAACGCUGUGCAAAAAGAUUGAAUCCCAAGCGCUUGUGCAUAUGAACACUGAGCCACAUAUUGAUGAACCACCAGGGGCCUCCUAAGUUGCUGAUGGGUUGGCCUAGCAUGAGUUUUUGAGUUACUGUUGACGGUCCUUGAUGCUCACAUUUAACCAUCAACUAAUCAUAGAAAAGGAUCCAAAUGCAACCAACACCUAGACUUAGGGUUUUAUCUGACAUAAUUCCACAAGUUUUGGUGUUUGUCUAUUUCUGCAGGGGGUUAUCAGGAAAUACGGAAGAAAGGCCCACACGUCGGGUUUACAUAGAGAUAUUAACGUGCCGCACAAUUAUCUACCAUCUAGAAGACUCCAGAAGCCACGGGACCGAAGCGGAGGCCGAGAGGGCUCAGGCACAGGGCGCCCGCCCUAGUCCCUUGGGCGCCUGCCCUCCCCCCUGGACCAAUCAGGGUGAAGUUCGGGGAUCAUGCUCCACCGACCUAAUACUUCAAGGAAAACCGUGCGAUCAAUGUCGGUUUGAUCCGAUGGCCAAGAUUCACUUGAAGGGACUAUAAAACCAGACCCCCUGGCCCCUGGAGAUCAUACCUCUUCUACAGAAUCAAAGUUAGAGUUCCAAUUCUUCAUCCAAGUAGAGAGGAUCCCUCUAGUUCUUCUAGUUCUAGUUCCUCUAGUUCUAGUUCUAGUUCCUCUAGUUCUAGUUCUAGUUAGUUGUAGUUGUAAUCUAGAAAAUAGGGAGAGAGAAGAGGAGAGCAGAGGAGGAGCCAGAUCUGUCGGAUCUUCCUCAACAUUGUACUUUUGCAGCAACUGGUUCAUUCUUCAUCGUUCUCCAGGUUCUUCAAUUCAUAACUCCUGAGUUCUUUAAUUACUUUUAUUUACAUUCAAGUUAUUUAUUGGAUUCCCGCUUGCAUCAAGUGCUCUAGUCUUUAUAACGCUAGAGUAGUAAUUAAUAGAUUAGACGUGGUGUUUAGUCUUGCGAUUACUUGGAAUUGCACCCAAUCCUGCGGAUUGUUGUGGUAGCCUUAGGGUAGUGACAGCCCUAACGGUCGACGUAUUCCACCACGUUCGGAUCGGUGUUUGUAGGACCGUAGUCAGACCUUCCUAGCCCCCUUCUCAUCUUUUUCUAUGGUUAGUGCUCUGAUGUCCCGAUAUAGAUAAUCUUGAAGUAAUUCUUGAUUAUUAGAUCAACUAGAGAACUCUCAGGAAACUUCCUCUCUUCCCACCAAAAAUAAUUAUAUAGUUAUCCUUGGGCGAUCUUGGAUCUUAAUUAGUACACUUACGUUCUCUGUGGAAAAUCGAUACUCUGGAAUACUCCCGGGUGAAGGCUACAUCGGUAUCCGUGCGCUUGCAGAUUUUUCUGUUUGCGUUUAAAAUACCCAACAAGCUUUCUGGCGCCGUUGCUGGGGAACGGUAGCUGUGCUAGUUUCGAACCAAGUCGUCCCAUGUAUCCUUUUUCUUUUCCUUUUUAACCACACUCACCUUACCAUUUUCACCAUACCACAUGGAUUUCACUCUAAGCAUUAAUGAGCAUGGAAUUUAUUUCAUAGCCACUUCAUUUACUCCAUGCUCAUAUGCAACAUCUUCACAAUCCAUUGGUCUCUCCAACAUCACCACAUUCGAGAUCUCCAACCCCCACUUCCUUUCUAUUUAUAAAAACUUUAAAAGGGUGGUUGUCGAUGCAUAUGUCUAUAAUAAAUUUUGCAGAUCUCGUUGAGUUGAUCUUGAUAUAGGUUUGCGUUGGAGGGGAAACCACUUCGCCGACAUAAAUUGAUGGUUUCCCAAGGACAAGCUUAGUGUCCUAAAACAAGCACUGAUCAGAUCGUAACAUGAGCUUUUAAUUAUUUGCAACAUUACCUUGUGUAUUGAGCAUAUAAGGAUAAUUGUAAAAAAAUUCCUUCGGGUAUUCUUGUCACUAACCUUUCUAGGAUUGGAGCAAGAAGAUCGGAUGAAUGACAAGCACAAGGUAUGUCCAACCAAUCAUCAUACAACAUUGAAUUAAAUUCAUCCAAACUUGAAUUUUACAAAAUUCAAGCUUGGGGGAGUACUUUACAUAAAAACAUCCUUUGCAAUGUUGCUAUGUUGGUUGUCCUUACCUUUGAGACAUGCUCAAUUUGUUAAAUACUAAACACACUACUUCAUCUCCACUUAAGUAGAUCUCUAUAAAUGCUCUCAUGGUACCUUUAUUUGCUUUAGUAUAUGUUUAGGUUUGGAGUAGUUUCAUUUAUCUCUUAAUUAAGCAUGGUGCUUAGUUAGGAAUGAUGAUCUUACUUCCAAGGGAUUUUAAAUUAAGCAUGAUGCUUAGGUUAAAAUGCCCUCCUAAAUCAAAUUAGACAUGGUGUCUAGGUUGAUCUUUGAGCCGAUAGUAUGCUAUAGUAGAUAUUGGAUAUUUUGUUGGACUAACCCCUGUAGGAAAACUUUCAAUAUCAACCUGGGAAGUCCUGAGAUAAACUCACAUUGGAGACAAAGAGAGACACACAUGAAGUUUAACAAUUUACACAAGGAAGGCAUAGCUCACAAGAGAUGAUCCAUGGAGGGUGCCAAAAACACGAUGCACAACCGCUAAGAGAGGAAAGCUUCCACAAGGUGAUACUGUACCAUCACUCUUCAAGUAAGGUAACAUCUUAAAGUACUUGACUAUCACUUUUAUAAGCUUCUCCUUGGUUCUGGCGUUCACAUGAGUAAAAGAGACAAACAUGUAUGAUUUACAACUCUAGAUUAACCAACCCAAUCGAUUCAACAUGUUUAGUCCUUCCACCUUUGUGAUUCCACACUCCUAAUCAUAUGAGCUAAAAUGUUGCACAUUCAAUCUUUGGAAGAUAUAAACAAAACAUAAAUAUAGAUAGAUUAUCUUUCCAUUAGGUUGAGCGAUUUGAUCUGACAAAUGUUUUAAAUGCUACACUCAUGAUCUUAUUAUCCAUCAACUUUGUCUUGCUCACUAUGCUUAAGGUUAGAGAAGAACAAAUACACUUUUGGUUCUGUUGGUGUUUUCCACCAAUAGGGCCCAUGCACUUGAUCUCUGCCUUGUCUCUAUGAAUAGGCACACUUCGAGCAAAAUAUGAAGGACUUUUACAACUCCGAGACUCCACCGAGUGAAGAACCUAGAUUUACGAGCACAAACACACUGGAGAUACUGGACACUCAGGCAAUCACUGCCCUGAGAUGCUUGAGGACGUAACUACUGGAGUAACCCCAUUGUGGAAGUAAUUACUGACCUUCUGCCGGUCAAGAGAGACAAUCCAGGACGCCCCGUCAUCCCGAUCUCCAUCGGAAUGGUGGACUUCCCAGAAGCACUCUGCAACUUUGGCUCCAGCGUCAACAUUAUGCUCAGGGUACUCUAUGAAAUUCUUUACACAUCCUUUCCUAGAAACAACCAUGUGUUUGCAGCUUGCAGAUCAGACACUAAGUUUCCCAAAGGGGAUAUUUAAGAACUUCUGCGUCCGAGUUGGUACCUUGUACGCCCCAGCAGACUUCAUGGUGAUAGAGACUGGUACUGAUGAGAGGGGACCCAUCAUCCUAGGGAGGCCAUUCCUGAACACCUCGGGAGCUGUCAUCUAUGCUAGUGCUGCCAAGAUCAGUUUCUACAUCAAGGGGAAGAAGGAGACGUUUUCCUUCAAGAACAAGACUACACAAAUCUUAGAGCAAUCCCGACAUGAACCAAGGAAGAGGACCAACAGGAGGAACAAGAACAAGCAAAUGUGUACCGAGUCAGCUAAGAUGGUCACUGCAGCUCAAGGAGGUCAAGAUCGUCAACUCAAGUCACCUUUCUUGAUCAAGAAGGACGACCCUGGUGUCCCAAGCAUCGAGUGCACAAUCAACGGAUAUUCUUUUCAGAAGACACUCUACGACACCGGAUCUAACGUCAACAUAAUGGCCGCAGUCACUUAUCAGCUCCUGCAUGGAACCAUGUCCCUACAACCAACAUACAUUCAGCUCCAGAUGAUUUUAAGGUUAUUGACAUGGGAGAAGACAAGUACGAUCCACCCAUCAUCCUUGGAAGACCGUUCCUCAGCAUUGUUAAAGCAAUCAUCUACAUUGGAACCGGAGAAGUCCACAUGCACUUCCCCUCUGAGAAGGUCAGGGCAAGAAGAAGACGACGCAACCGCAACCAGAGGAGGCAAAUCAUCAAGGACGGAUGGGCAGACUAUAAAGGAGAAGUCGUAAGGUCUGAAGACAUACAACUUGAACAGAACUGUCCUGAGGAGACCGUAGCACCGAGUCAGGUGUGUAGAGAGAAGAUAGUUAUACAUGAAGAGGAGGCACCGCCGGAACCACCGACUACGCCAUCCAGCGAAUCCCAGGACCACUGAGAAAACGGAGAGUCCCGUUCGGAGGACGUAAAAACACCGAACGCCUUGCCAAAAGGUAAACUUGGUAGUUAUCUUUUUCCUUUUAAUUAUUUAAAAUAGUUUUGUUAGUUAAUCAGGUUCAUAUCAUCUUGAAACGAAAAUAAAAAUGUUAAAAAUAGUAAGCCCCAUGUGAGUAUGCUCAUGGCAUAAAACCCAUAAGUACAUUCACUGUGGUGGCAUAAAAAUAAAUAUAUAUAUAUUCCUGUCCUAUAAAAAUGAAAAUAUAAAAAUAAAUUUAUGAUCCUACUAAAGAGAGUAACAUUUAUUGAGGAGGCUCAACAUGAUAAAGGCUAGAUAUUUAUGCUAACACUUAACUAGUUCCACAAAGCUUUGUUGUCUAUUUGAGCUCCACAGAAUUAAAGGAUCAAAGAAGACUAGUAGACGGAGGACAUCCUAAUCAAUGUCAGGGUGCUGCCGACAUUCAAAUACACCUCCGCCACCUGCUACAUCAAAAGGAAUUACGUCAAAAUCCAGCUUGGGGGAGAGCACCUCCAUUUAUCCAGCUAAGUAUUCUACUCACGUUUAUAUUUUACUCAAAUAAUAAAAAGAUGCAUAAUCAUAAAAACCCAAAUAAAGAUUUUGUGCUUAUAUAUAUAUAUCUUUGCUUAGUUUGCUAAAUAAAUAAAUAAAAUUUUCUAUGAACCCUCACGAUAAGCUCUCACAUGGAAAGAUGAAUAGUUGCUCUGCCAUGACUAGUUCUCAAAAUUGAAAUCUCUCUCAAGUUUAGGCAUCACUGUUAUUAAUUAAGAUUUGCUCUAAACCUGAACUUGUGGGAAGAGUACUUGAAAUGAAGUCUAAGUCGUUAACGGAUAUGAUAUGGGAAGGUUGAGCUGCUGUUUAUCUGUUCCUAGAGAUGCUAGAAUUCUGGAGAAUUGUAUCUUUAAAAACCUUUAAAAUAUCACAUGAUGAGUUCCUGUAUGAUGAGAGUUUAAAUUCCUACCACAACCAUAUAUACAUGCUUGCUAGACUUUGAGCCACACAUUUACUUUUUACUGCUUAUGAGCAUUGAGUGUGGUCAAGCUGUGUAGACCCUUAGGAGCUUGUCAUGUGGUUAAGUCAAGAUUCACUUGCACGUUCACUCAUACAUGCUACUUCUACUCUGGAAGUACCAUCCACAUAUACCCAUUUCCAUCUGCAAAACCACCCAAAAAUAUUCUACUCCUAAUCCGGGAGAGAAUAGCCAAAAAUAUUUCUAUUUUUUCCCUGUGAAAUAAAUGCUCAAGUUAUCUUGUUACUACCACUUGCUAUAUUAUCUCAUGAGAUGAGUGCUCUAAAGAAAAAAAAGAGAGAAAAAAAUACGAGGAAAUAAAAAGGGGCAAGUGCCCGGAACCUCGAAAGAAAAGAAAAAGUGAGACGAGAGGUAAAAAUGGACAAGUGUCCGACAGUAGAAUUAGGGGUACGAGAUACCCACCUGAGAGAAAAGAAAAAAGAAAAUAUAGAGCAUCUCAUUCUCCUCAAAAGUUUCAAAAGAGCAAGAAAGGUAUGUAUCCCUUCAAAAGAGCACAAGUAGAAUUAGACUUUCACCAUUGUUAUCACCAUCAUCACCAUACACCAUUCAUUUGCCACACAUACACAUCUUGAUUUGACUUAUUGACUUGUUCUUUUGGAUCCAUGGUUUGACUAUGCAAUAAAUGUCUUGUAAGUAUGUAUUAGCUAUCUCCCACCUAUGAGCUCCAGAUAUCAAAACCUUAUUAGAGUAGGGUGAGAGAGAAGGCAAUGGCACUAUGCCUCAUACCAAAAAUACCACAUACUUUGAGAGAAAGCAUACACCAUUACUGCCUUGGUAAGGAUCCAGAAAUACCACAAAAGAGAGACUAGAGAGAGUCAUACAAGGAAUCUCUGAGUUUUAUUUGAAAAUCUGCAAAAACUCCAGAGCUAUAGCUGAUCAAGAAUAAGAGACAUGGUGCUUGACUAGACCGUUCUAUCUUUUAACUACUCAAGACACAGGUGACGGUUGCAAGCCCCAUGGUGGAAGGUAAAAUGAGUGAAUUUAAAUCUUAACAGUUUACCCUAACCCAGAGAUGAGAUCUUGUUUGAACGUAUGUGUAUCUUUAAGGCAUGAAACCACUGCAGAAACUCUUGAGUUCAUCUUUGCUCAGGGAUGAGCAAAGGUUAAGCUUGGGGGAGCUUGUUGACGGUCCUUGAUGCUCACAUUUAACCAUCAACUAAUCAUAGAAAAGGAUCCAAAUGCAACCAACACCUAGACUUAGGGUUUUAUCUGACAGAAUUCCACAAGUUUUGGUGUUUGUCUAUUUCUGCAGGGGGUUAUCAGGAAAUACGGAAGAAAGGCCCACACGUCGGGUUUACAUAGAGAUAUUAACGUGCCGCACAAUUAUCUACCAUCUAGAAGACUCCAGAAGCCACGGGACCGAAGCGGAGGCCGAGAGGGCUCAGGCACAGGGCGCCCGCCCUCCCCCCUGGACCAAUCAGGGUGAAGCUCGGGGAUCAUGCUCCACCGACCUAAUACUUCAAGGAAAACCAUGCGAUCAAUGUCGGUUUGAUCCGAUGGCCCAGAUUCACUUGAAGGGACUAUAAAACCAGACCCCC